UUACUUUUAUCUGCCACCAAGGAUACAUUCAGUUUAUUAAACUAGUCUAUAGUUCAAUUUCAUUUUUCUACAUUACAAGUCUUCGCUCGAUCUUCUCGCUCAUUCACAUAUUGAAUGACAUUUCAUCCGGAUACCGAUCAGCUUGAUCUUUAUGGGAUCCUUAAGUUCUUCUAACAUCGUACACUAAAAAUGUUUUUUCAUUUAAAGCAGGUGUGAGCAUUCAAUUGCCCAGCAAGUCAUAGCAGUUGAACAAACAACUUCAAGAAUUUAAACAUUCUUUUAAGACUUCAAUAACCGAACAAAGGUUAUGAAGCAACUUGAAUAAUAGGAAUAAUCUCGAUUCCUAUCAUUUUGAGAAAUAUAAUAUUGUUUUUUCUUUGGUUUAUAAAUAUACUUCUAAUUUCGUAAUAGAUGGAAUGUGUGUUUUUCUUCUUCAUUUAACUUAAUUUUGUUACUUGUCUGAGUAAGUGAAGAAUUUAAAUCAUUAAAUAGAAAUUAUUUGUACAACUUAGCAUCAACAGAUUGUGUAUUAAAACCAAGGCGUUGUCCACUUGUUUGAGCAAACUCCUUAAAAGAAUUAGGUGUACCACCACAUCAAUCCAACUAGACUUUCAUCGAAAUCCAAUAGAACAAUAACUCAAAAUAAAGAUUAUUGAAAAUCAUGUCUAGAAAAUGAUUGAUUAGGGCUAAUUCUGUAUUUUUACUUUUGAAUGCACAUUUUUCCUAUAUAUACCUACCCAAAUUAUCAACUGGUUCACAAAAAUGGCAAUGCUAAAUGAUCCCAGCAGCCUCAAAGUGUUCAUUGAAGCUGUACAAACUGUAAUUCCAGCAAUACCAACUGAUCCAAGGAUAUCCCGCCAAGUGUCAAUCAAAAAAGACAUUAAUUCGGGCAUUUUCCAGAGGCGAUUUCAUGUGAUUUUAUACUACAAGAAGGCUUCCAAUGAGGAUUCUGGUUGGUUACUGGCAGGAUGGACUAAGGAGUCACUAGGGGUAGCGUUAUCGGAUCAGCCUAUAUUGGCUGGGAGGCUAAGAAGGGUGGAGGGUACUGGUGGUGGAGGACUAGAGAUUGUGCCUAAUGAUAGCGGUGUUAGAUUAAUCGAGGCGCGGAUUCCAAUAAACUUGGAGGAGUUUCUCAAUUUGAGGAACAAAGAAGAAGCAGAAAAUCAGCUAGUGUUUUGGGAGAGCAUUGAUGAACAAAAUCCUCAGUUUUCUCCACUAUAUUAUGUUCAGGCAAGUGACAUGUUAUUAUGUGUACUAGUUGUAGGUAGUUCACAAUUCUUUGUGGUCCUUGGUCCUCAUAAGGUUAGUUUUUGUGUGUGGAUUUUGUUUCAGUACUCGUGUCUAUGCAUGAAAUUUCUAAAAAUAAUUAAGGAGUCCAGCCUACUGCCUACUUGAAAUAAAGGUUCAUGAUCUCACGAAUUACAUCUGAAUAAAUUAAUAAAUCAGAAGAUAAAAGGCGUUGUUCAGUUGAGUUGAGUUGAAUAUAGACAAAACCAAAGCCUCAUAAUCUCAUUGACUAAAAUGUUGCAGGUGACGAACUUUAUAUGUGGUGGAUAUUCAAUUGGGAUAAGCUGCAGCCUUCUUCUAGCCGAUCCAAUGGUCAUGACAAGCUUCCUCAAGAAAUGGGCAAAUAUUCACAAUAAAAUUGUCACUAAAUUUGAAACUUCCAAAUUACCCAUAUUUUACCUACCUAAUCUCGGAAAAGCCUGCUCAACCCCCCCUUACCAAAACCACCCCGCCCCUACCAAAAACAUUGGCCAAACCUUCAUCUUCAAAGUUACUCAAAAAAACUUAAUUAUGGAUAAUAUUGAGAUGCGAAAGGCAGUUGCAAUGUCAUGCAUUGAAGAAGCGAAACGCAGGCUCCGUACAAAAAUUGCUUCAGAUUUUUAUUUAAUUAUGAAAGAACCCACUAAUGAUAUAAUUAAGGUAGAGAUUUGUGUGAAACAAGAGCCCUUUAACUAUAUAAUUGGGGACACUAGUACAAUUACAAGUUGGGAUGAUUAUGUAGGGGCUGAUGGAUUAAGUUUUACCAAGGGGUAUAAGCCUGCUGCCUGUGUAUCUUAUGGGAUUAAUUCACCAUUUGAUGAAGGCGGCCUUGUGAUGAUAAUUCCAUCUCCUGAUGUGGGCAUGUCUGUUAUUGUGACUGUUCCUAGUGAUAAUAAAUUGAUAUAGGAAGGUUGGGGUACUAUGUGUUUAGCAAAGAGAAAUAUUAUACUAGUUUCUGGCAGUUGUUGUAAUUGUCUCCUCUGGUUUCAUUUAUUGUUUGUGUAUAGUGUGCGAGACAAAUUCAUAAAAUCCGAAUCCUUUAAAAACAAUACAUCUUUAUUGCUCAAUCCUUUAAAAACAAUACACCUUUACUAGCAAAUAGCAAUACAAAAGCUGAGUAGUUUUUACUGCACAGUUACGCGUUCAAUAUUCAGUAACAAAAACAUAUUCUUUUAAGCCACAUCAUGUUCUGGGAGAACAGGAGAGUUUGCACGUUGUGUGGAAGGGCGGAUCCAACAUCUUAGAUCAGUCGGGUCAAAUUUGAAAUAAAUAAAUUCCCGUAAAAAAAAAUUAUAGUAAAAUAAAUUACAAAAAAAAUAAUGCCCAAAUAUUAUUUUUAGUAAUAUUUUUUGACUUUAUUACUUAAAAUUGUUAUAUGAUAGUCUCAUUUUUAUUAGUUACAAAAAUUCACAAGCAAUUUUAAAAAAUCUCAAAACAAUUGCUAAAUUUCUAAAAUUAUAAAUAAAAAAAAUACACCCUAUUGAAUUUUCUCUAAAAACUAGUGGGAAGAAUUAGGUCAAACAGGUAGAUUAGAAACAAAGAGACAAAGAGUAUUAUAGUGACCAAGGUAAUAUAGAAUAUGAAUUUUGAAGAAUUUAAUACUACCUUCAUUCCAAAAUUAGAUAUACAUUUUGACCUUUUAAAAUCAAUUUGUAAAAUCCUAAAACUCAAAUUUUAUAUAAGGUCGUUCAAAUUUUGAAAACAACAAAGAUAUAAUUAGUAGUGUUUUUAUAGUUAGUUUACAAUUAUUAUAUUUGUUGUAUUAAAACUAAAUAACAUUAUAUCAAUUUUGAAUUUUAGGAUUUUGCAAAUUGACUUUAAAAAGUCAAAAUGUAUUUAUCUCUAAUUUUGGAACGGAGAUAUUAUUUUUCAAUCUCAAUUUUAAAAUUUUCAUUAAACACACUAAAAUUUUACUCUCUUACAGCGGGGUCAAUUGACUCCACGACCCUUAAGCUAGAUUCGCCCAUGGUUGUGGGCGCAUACACAAGGUAUUAACACACACAUGUUUGGAACCUAACUUAACCCAAAAGCUUCAUCAAGAGUUAAAUUCCAUUAAGAAUUAAACAUCUUCUCUACAUUUUCUCUUCAAUCACCACAAAUCACCAAUUCUCAGAUAACCAGUCUCAUAAACCGAUUCUCAGCUAAAUUCAUCGAGAAUUCAACAUUAGAGUCCUUUGGGAAAACACCAAUCAUUGAUCUAGAAUUCACCAUCAUCAUGUGUCUUUUGAAGAGACUGAAAUUAAUUUUUGAACCACCAUAUCGUGUGUCUUUUGUUCGUUGCGUUCCCGUACACAAGGCAUUAACACACUGUUUGGAACCCAAUUUGACCCAAAAACUUAAGCGGUUAGUUCUUGGGUUCAUUCAUGUAUAUUAGUCGUUUAUGUGAGAUCCCAAAUUUUAUGAAAUAAAAGUAUUCAAUUUUUCUAUUUUGGUAAAUAGUUAAAUUGAUAAAAGUUUAAAGUUAAGGGUGAUAUUUAAAAAUUUUACAAAGUAAGAAAGUUGUUAUAAAAUAUUCGUUGUGUUGGGAAAUAUUCGUUUGGUCGGGGAAUAUUUGUUUUAACACGGAAUAUUCGUACGACGACACAUUCAUUGGUGAACCCCACAACGGAAGUAUUGUCGUAGUUAGAAAACGACAGAAAUAUCUUUUUAUAAAAAUAACGGUGAAACUUUUACCGUUAAACUUUUGAAUUACCCGGUGGUAAAAGUACAGUAAUACGCGUGGUUGCAUAGUAGCACACGGUAUUGAUUAUUAAUGCUUACGUAAGAAGUCACUCAGUUAUACUCAAUUAUUGUUACAGUAAUUGUUGCAUCAUAUCUCUCAUAUUAUUGAUUCAAUUAUUGUCACAGUAUCAUCUGUAUAAUAUGUUAUAUUAUUAAAUCAAUAAUUGAGACAACAAAGUUAUUCAUAUUAUUAUUUGCAAUAUUAACAAUGUCUAGAAGUUCUGUCAAUGAGAGGUUUGGUCACCUAAUUGCGCGCCAAUAAGGAGAAAUCCUUAUCAGAAAGCCCCAUCUUUCCUGGGAACGACCUGGUUGUUAAAUAUUGUGAGUUAUAAUAUUAAUGAUGAAUAAGUUCGUGUUGAUUAAAGAUGAAAUUGAUAGUUCCAUUAUGUUGGGAUUAUUAGUGUUAGUGGAAAUCGACAUAUAUUUUGAUAAUAAUUGAUGUCUGAAAGUUAUAUUGACCAAUUGGGUAAUUUACAAGAUAAAUGAGCAAUUAAUUACUAUUAAUUCACAUGAUUAUAACUAUUUGUUCACAUGUGUGUACUAUUGAUUCACAUUCAUNNNNNNNNNNNNNNNNNNNNNNNNNNNNNNNNNNNNNNNNNNNNNNNNNNNNNNNNNNNNNNNNNNNNNNNNNNNNNNNNNNNNNNNNNNNNNNNNNNNNUAUAAAUAGAAGCUCAUUCUUCCUUCAUUUCUCACCAAUUCACUAAAGCUAUAGAGCAAUUAUUAUAGAGAGAAAGAAGAAGAGAAGUUUGCUACCUCACUAUUCCAGUAUUCAGUCUUCUUUUGAGGUAAGGGGUAUUAUUUCUUUCGUAUUCAUGAAGAGAGCUUCUGUUAUUCCAUUUUUUAUUAUUAUGUUGGAAUAACCUGUCUAUGUGAAGUACCGCAUACAUGGUGAAAUUCUUCUAUUAUUCCAUUCUUUAUUAUUCUGUUGGAAUAUCCUGUCUGUGCGGAUUACGCUACACCUGGUUCCAUUCUUUAUUAUUCCGUUGGAAUAACCUGUCUGUGCGGUCUAUCGCAUGCCUGGUGAAUUUUGUUGUUAUUCCAUUCUUUAUUAUUAUGUUGGAAUAACCUGUCUAUGCGAAGUACCGCAUACAUGGUGAAAUUCUUCUAUUAUUCCAUUCUUUAUUAUUCUGUUGGGAUAACAUGUAUGUGCGGUCUAUCGCAUGCCUGGUGAAUUCUUCUAUUAUUCCAUUCUUUAUUAUUCUGUUGGAAUAACCUGUUUGUGCGGUCUAUCGCAUGCCUGGUGAAUUCUUCUGUUAUUCCAAUCUUUAUUAUUCUAUUCGAAUAACCUGUCUGUGCGGUCUAUCGCAUGCAUGGUGAAUUCUUCUGUUAUUCCAUUUUUAUUAUUCUGUUGGAAUAACCUGUCUAUGAGGAUUACCGAAUGCAUGGUGAAUGAUCCUUUGUAUUCAUUCCUUAUUAAAUUGUGAAAAUGAUCUGUCUACAUGGAUUACCGCAUGGCGGCCAAAAAUCCAUUUGCAGUUUCGUAUAUUCUAUUAUACUCGUAUGAGAUAUCAUUUCUGUUGUACUCGUCAUGGAAUAUCAUUUUCUUUGGUAUUUUACUUUUACGAGUUACUAUUUACCUAGUUACUAUUUACUCUAGUAUUAUUCACUCGGGUAUUCGGGGCACUUUUUGUGCCGGAGUACUAUUCAUGAGUUACUAUUCACGGGUUACUAUUCACCCGGUUACUAUUCAAUCUAGUAUUGUUUACUCGGGUAUUUGAGACACUUUUCAUGCCGGGGUACUAUUCACCCGAAAAAUAUAUUUCUUUUCUGUCCAAAUUAUUUUUGGUACAUGAAUAUUAUUCUUGAAUUUUUCUCUACAAAGCAGUAUCAUGUUGACAAUUUGGACGUUAUUGAUUUCUAGAUAAAUUAAAUUAUAAAUCUUUAAAAUUUAUCCUUGAACUUGUUUUAUUGAAUUAUUNNNNNNNNNNNNNNNNNNNNNNNNNNNNNNNNNNNNNNNNNNNNNNNNNNNNNNNNNNNNNNNNNNNNNNNNNNNNNNNNNNNNNNNNNNNNNNNNNNNNUUGUUGAUCUAAAACUUGUUGUCUAUUGUAUUCUAUCAGUUGUUAUACUGUUGAAGGCUAAGGAUAAUUUAUUCUGCAUUAUCUUAGUCAUAAUAUUUCUUACUGGGCUAGUUGAGCUCACCCUUUCUUUCAUUGUUCUCUUCAGAAAAUGAGAAUAUAGCUGGGAUGAGUCGGGGAAUGGAGUGAUGGUCCAGGAUAAAUGGCUUUAGUAGUCCUCACUAUUCUACGGAAUAAUGUGAUAAUAAUUGUAAUGAGGAUUCCAUUGAGUGUGGAUAUUGUCUAGAUGACAAUAUUCUUGUUUAAACUCUCAGCUAUGUUUUAUCGUAUUUUACAUGACUAUUGUAUAAUUAAGUUGUAUUUGAAUUUAUGUACCAUAUAUCUGGCGACUCGAGAUGGGUGAUGUAUACCUGUUUUGGGGGCGUCACAGUUGGUAUCAAAGCUUAGGGAUAUGAUCCCUGGCUGAGAUGUGAGGCAAGAACUUGGAGGGGAGAGACGGAGAAUUCAUUCGCUAGUAGGACCUACCUAAGUUUAUUUGGUAUUUAAUUGGUCGGUCAGAAUAUAGAGAUAAUAUGUGGCAUGUCAAUUAAUCCUUAUUUUGAAACUGUAUUCUAGAAUGAUAUCUGAAAUACAGGAGAUGAGAAAUGGGAAAAUCACGAUAAAGAGGAAAUAACCGGGAAGGUACAAUCCGAAAAGAAAGCAAGGUAUUCUCAUCUCUUCAAACUACCAGGUACGUAAAUUUCGAGGGCAAAAUUUCAUAAGGAGGGGAGAUUGUGAGAUCCCAAAUUUUAUUAAUAAAAGUAUUUAAUUUUUCUAUUUUGGUAAAUAGUUAAAUUGAUAAAAGUUUAAAGUCAAGGGUGAUAUUUGAAAAUUUUACAAAGUAAGCAAGUUGUUAUAAUAUAUUCGUUGUGUCGGGAAAUAUUCGUUUGGUCGGGGAAUAUUCUUUUUAACACGGAAUAUUCGUACGACGGCACAUUCAUUGGUGAAUCCCACAACGGAAGUAUUGUCGUAGUUAGAAAACGACAGAAAUAUCUUUUUAUAAAAAUAACGGUGAAAGUUUUACCGUUAAACUGUUGAACUACCCGGUGGUAAAAGUACAGUAAUACGCGUGGUUGAAUAGUAGCACACGGUAUUGAUUAUUGAUGCUUACGUAAGAAGUCACUCAGUUAUACUCAAUUAUUGCUACAGUAAUUGUUGCAUCAUAUCUCUCAUAUUAUUGAUUCAAUUAUUGUCACAGUAUCAUCUGUAUAAUAUGUUAUAUUAUUAAAUCAAUAAUUGAGACAACAAAGUUAUUCAUAUUAUUAUUUGCAAUAUUAACAAUGUCUAGAAGUUCUAUCAAUGAGAGCUUUGGUCACAUAAUUGCGCGCCAAUAAGGAGAAAUCCUUAUCGGAAAGCCCCUUCUUUCCUGGGAACGACCUGAAUCUUAAAUAUUAUGAAUUAUAAUAUUAAUGAUGAAUAAGUUCGUGUUGAUUAAAGAUGAAAUUGAUAGUUCCAUUGUGUUGGAAUUAUUAGUGUUAGUGAAAAUCGACAUUUAUUUCGAUAAUAAUUGAUGUUUGGAGGUUAUAUUGACCAAUCGGGUAAUUUACAGGAUAAAUGAGCAAUUAAUUGCUAUUAAUUCACAUGAUUAUAACUAUUUGUUCACAUGUGUGUACUAUUGAUUCACAUUCUUGUACUAUUAGGGGAGGUGGUGCAAAAUUUAUAAUACUUGCAAGACUAAGUUUAAAAUGGAGGUAUAGUUGAAGGUUCUAUACUGUAAUUCGUAUUUUCACAUGAUUAUAACUAUUGAUUCACAUGAUUGAACAGAUUCACAUUAUUUACUAUUAGGGGAGGUGGUCCAAGUUUGAUAAUACUUGCAGGACUAAAUUAAAAAUGAAGAAAAAGAGGAAGGUAUUAUACUGUAAUAUUUUGAGCCCCAAAACGUGCAAUUUUCGAAACUAUAUUUUCCUAUAAAUAGAAGCUCAUUCUUCCUUCAUUUCUCACCAAUUCACUAAAGCUAUAGAGUAAUUAUUAUAGAGAGAAAGAAGAAGAGAAGUUUGUUACCUCACUAUUCCAGUAUUCAGUCUUCUUUUGAGGUAAGUGGUAUUAUUUCUUUCGUAUUCAUGAAGAGAGCUUCUGUUAUUCCAUUCUUUAUUAUUCUGUUGGAAUAACCUGUCUGUGUGGUCUAUCGCAUGCCUGGUGAAUUCUUCUGUUAUUCCAUUCUUUAUUAUUCUAUUGGAAUAACCUGUCUGUGCAGUCUAUCGCAUGCCUGGUUAAUUCUUCUGUUAUUCCAUUCUUUAUUAUUCUGUUGGAAUAACAUGUCUGUACGGUGUAGACACUCGAAAUUUUUUGCACUCCUAUUCCGAACAUUGUAGGAGGGUAGAUUUGUCUUUUGGAGAUAACCCUGAAAGACAGCUUACAUCCAUGCCGGAUACUACCGGAACAUCAUCUCAACCCGGAACACAAACCGGGAACAUCAUCUCAACCCGGAACACACACCGGGUGUGUCAUUUCCAAUCUCUGAGAUAACCCCAAGAUAUGCAGAUCAAAAGACUGGCAACAACACCGAAGAGGACAGUCCUAUCUCGGCGAUAACACCGCGACAUUCAGUUCCAGUUCCAAAGACAACACUGGGAGUAGCAACCCCAUCCUUGGUGAUAGCCCCAAGGGAUGCCAUUGCAGUUCCGGCGAUAACCCCGAAAAUACUUGUUUCAAACUUGUGUGAUCAGCUUCAAUCCAGAUGACAGUGAGGCAUACAAACAAGCAGUCCAAUCUCAGAUGUAACCCUGAGUAAAGUCUAUUUUCCGCUUAAACCGGUGAUAGCCUCGGUGAGGAGUCACAACGUCAUCUGUCCGCGUCAACAAGAUGAUAUCGCGAUAUACCAACAAGUAGUCCAAUCUCAGCAGUAACCCUGAGCAACGUCAACUUUCAACUCAAACCGGCGAUAACCUCGACGAGGAGUCAAACGUCAUCUUGUUCCUUUAACAAAUGGCACGUCGUCUCAACACUUCAUACAUACAUACAACAAAUGUCCUACAAGAGCCGAAGAUUAACAAUCCCGAGUGACUAUUACGUGUGGCAGUACUUUGGAUAGAAUUUAAAGCUUGAAGACCACGGGCAUAGACCCCUCUUCCUGACUUCGUAUAACCUCUAAUCCAUGUCAUUACGUAACUCUUGACACAAGCUAUCCGAAGAAGUACAGAUAUACUUAGUUCGGAUGCUCGGAUUGAAGUUCUGCAAGUUCGAGCAGACAUUACAGUGCAUGACUACACGUACUACGAGACGACGGGACCCGCGAGGCUCAGAUCCACCAUGACCAGUCGCAGGUACAACUGCGGCUGCCGCAGGUGUACCUGCGGCCAUCCGUCUAUAUAUACAAGGCUUGGGUCAGCCAUUUGGGAAGAGAGAGAGAAGGAAAAAGGCGAGGAAGCCUUGUCCAUUUUACUCUGCAUACACAUCUUUUGAGUGUUUCCUCUUCUUUAAACACUAGUUAGCUCACAUAUAGCUAAUUUUUAACCGAUGGAAGCUGAGUGUUUAUCCAUUUAAAGUCUAAGAAGUCUACUUUGGCAGCCCACUGUAAGCCUUCUUAUAUUCUAUAAAGCCUCUUUCUCAUAUAUCACACACUAUUGUACACGUUGAUAGUCGUGUGAGUGUGUUUGCCCGGACUUCGGUCCGUAGUUUUCAUUUUUGUCUGUAUAUAUAUACUAAUAUAUGUAUAUAUUUCGUAUAUAUAGACUAACAUUAUCGAGUUAUGCCUCGAUUGAGCCUAGACUUCGGUCUAGAGCGUUUACUUGCGUAUAUAUAUAUAUAUAUAUAAACUGUGGUCAGACUCUGUCUGAUGAGCUUGGAUUUUACAUCCGGAGCGUUUAAUUGCUUUUGUAUAUAUAUAUUUAUAUAUAAUUGCUGUCAGACAUAUCUGAUGGGCCUGGAUUUUAUAUCCGGUGCGUUUACUCGCUUAUAUAUAUAUACACAUAUAUAUAAUUGCUGUCAGACAUAUCCGAUGAUCCUGGAUUUACAUCCGGUGCGUUUACUGCUUUUAUAUAUAUAUAUAUUUGUGCAUAUAUAUAUAUAUAUAUAUAUAUAUAUAUAUAUAUAUAUACAUUCCAGUCAGGCCUGGAGGUUCUUCCGUGGCUUUUUACAACUUUUUUACAUUUCGUCCUGCCUGGAGUUCACUUCGUGGCAGUUAAUCGCUUUUUACAGCUUUAUUUACAUUUUGUCCUGCCUGGAGUUUACUUCGUGGCAGUUGAUAGCAUUUACUGCUUUAUUUACAUGUCUGAUCCCCCAUGGAGUUGCUUUAUGGUGGUUGAUCAUGUAUAUAUAUAUAUAUAUAUAUAUUUAUCACUUUUAUAUAUAUAACUGCUUACUGCUUUCCAUAUAAAUUGCAGUAUCAUGUGAGCCUAGGAAUCAUGUGAUCAUAGGUUCAGUCUAUUGAACCUAGAUUCGGUUCCCAUGAUGGACAUUUUUUAGCUGUAAGCAGCUUGUACAUUAUUUUACAGUGUCUGAGUUUCCUUGGAUGGCUGCCAUGCCCAUAAGGAGUUCAGCACUGCUGUAUAUUAUUUUCUCAAGGAUGCUUCGCAUCUCGAAAAUAAAAGCAAACAAGCCGAACAUUCAAUAAAAUGGAAGUAUGAAAAGGUCUCAAUUCCUAUUGAGCACACGGUUUGAAAAACCUCUUUUACAAAACUUCAUUGCUAUAUCUUGGUUAAAACUGAAUUUUCCUAUAAAAUUCAAACCUUGUGUAUAUAGGUGCGAACGAGGCCUCGCACUACUUUCAAAUAAUUGCACAUUGAUCCACACACACACACACACACACACAUAUUCAUAUAACAAUUUCUUUGAAAAGUUGCGGUCACCGUGGUAACACGGAUGUCGGGGGGUGCCUAACACCUUCCCUCCGCAUAAUCAAGCCCCCGAACCCUUAAUGAAUCUCGGUUUCACAGACCCGUUUAGCAGUGUCAAAUCACUGGGUCAAUGUGCUAACAUUUUCAGUUGUGUUGGUGCAACCAAUUAAAUACACCAACUGGCGACUCUUAAAGUCAAUCGUCGACAUUAUACAUGUCGGACCUUUUUCACUUGUUUUUUCAAACAAAUCUCACAUUAACAUGAGAACACCAAAGAACAAGUAAUGAAAAGGGACACUCAAAAAUCCCGACAUCGACAUGCGGUCUAUCGCAUGCUUAGUGAAUUUUUCUGUUAUUCCAUUCUUUAUUAUUCUGUUGGAAUAACCUGUCUGUGCGGUCUAUCGCAUGCAUGAUGAAUUCUUCUGUUAUUCCAUUUUUAUUAUUCUGUUGGAAUAACCUGUCUAUGUGAAUUACUGAAUGCAUGGUGAAUGAUCCUUCGUAUUCAUUCCUUAUUAAAUUGUGAAAAUGAUCUGUCUACAUGGAUUACCACAUGGCGGGCGAAAAUCCAUUUGCAGUUUCGUAUAUUCUAUUAUACUCAUCAUUUUUGUUGUACUCGUCAUGGAAUAUCAUUUUCUUUGGUAUUUUUCUUUUACGAGUUACUAUUCACGGGUUACUAUUUACUCAGUUACUAUUUACUCUAAUAUUAUUCACUCGGGUAUUCGGGACACUUUUCGUGCCAGAGUACUAUUCAUGAGUUACUAUUCACGGGUUACUAUUUACCCGAUUACUAUUCAAUCUAGUAUUAUUUACUCAGGUAUUUGAGACACUUUUCAUGUCGGGGUACUAUUCACCCGAAAAAUAUAUUUCUUUUCUGUCCAAAUUAUUUUUAGUACAUGAAUAUUAUUCUUGAAUUUUACUCUACAAAGCAGUAUCAUGUUGACAAUUUGGAUGUUAUUGAUUUCUGGAUAAAUUAAAUUAUAAAUCUUUAAAAUUUAUCCUUGAACUUGUUUUAUUGAAUAAUUAUGUCAUUGUCAUCAUCCUCAUGCUUAAAUUGUGAUGAAAGUCAUCUUUGGCUUACGUGCAUAGAUGGACUUGGUAUGAUUAUGACCAGGGAUUAUUCGAUAUAAUCAUGACCGUAAUAUAACGAAUGAUGUGGUAAAAGUCCUCAUUGGCCUGUAGUUCAUUGAUGGACAGUUGUUGGUAUGAUUAUGACCAUGGAUUAUUCAGUAUAAUCAUGACCAUUGAUGAUUACAUGAAUAUCCUUGGCCGUAGUGCAGGGACGAUUCGAUUUUAUUUAUUAAGCUGAGUCUCAACGAUAAAGUUGAUGAAAUUUUUUUUAAAUCAUAGAAGAUAGUAGAUUUUAUGCUCUACUUGACUCUUCUAAUGGAUUGCUUAUUUCCGCUGCAGUUGUUGAUCUAAAACUUGUUGUCUAUUGUAUUCUAUCAGUUGUUAUACUGUUGAAGGCUAAGGAUAAUUUAUUCUGCAUUAUCUUAGUCAUAAUAUUUCUUACUGGGCUAGUUGAGCUCACCCUUUCUUUCAUUGUUCUCUUCAGGAAAUGAGAAUAUAGCUGGGACGAGUCGGGGAAUGGAGUGAUGGUCCAGGAUAAAUGGCUUUAGUAGUCCUCACUAUUCUACGGAAUAAUGUAAUAAUAAUUGUAAUGAGGACUCCAUUGAGUGUGGAUAUUGUCUAGAUGACAAUAUUCUUGUUUAAACUCUCAGCUAUGUUUUGUCGUAUUUUACACGACUGUUGUAUAAUUAAGUUGUAUUUGAAUUUAUGUACCAUAUAUCUGGUGACUCAAGAUAGGUGAUGUAUACCUGUUUUGGGGGCGUCACAAUUUACUCUUUUAUUAUUUCUUUGAUAGACUCUAACUCACUUGUGAUAUCCUAACACAUCAAACAUGAUUUAUAAUGAAUAUGAAUUUAUUUACUUUGUGAUUUGUGGAAUAUUAUAUUGAUUUUAUUUGAUUUAGUUACAAAUUGAAAACAUAGUGACCGAGUGUCUCAACAUCAUAAUUUUUUUUAUAUAUCUACUAAUUCUUUGUUUUACGAUAAAAGAUAUACUAUUUUCAAAUAAUUGUUUGAGAAAAAAAGUUCUCUAUAAAUUGACAAAUGUAAGUGUUGUAAACUUAUUAUAAUACUUUUAUACAUUAAGUUCUACUCUCAUAAUUUGGUCCCUAAAUUAAUUAGGCUUACCCAAAAUCAAUUUCCGACUGCAAUCGGCCGAAAAACGAUCUGAAUGACAACGCAGUUGGAGCCUAAUUGGGUUUAUGCGAUUUGACCGUAUAUACACUAACUUAUUUUUUUAAACAAAACUAACUUAAUAUCGUAUAUUACAAAAAAUAUAAAAUUAUACCAACUAAUGUUUCACAAAAAAUAAAAAAUUAAAAAAAAUCCAAAAUAAUACUAAUUCGUACCAUAUAUGUAUCAAAAUAAAUUAUCACAUUUAAAUUUUAAACUUUUAUAAAUUAAAAAAUAUAUAAAACAAAAUGAGUAUUUAUUUAAAUUAUAAAUAUAUAUAUAUAUAUAUAUAUAUUGUCAAAUUAUAAAAGUGAAUUUGUCAAGGCUAGUAUUUGAUAUUAUGUCUUUAAAAUAAUUAUGCCCUUUUGGUGCUCAGAGUUGAUAGCACUUGUCUCCCAGAAUACAAUGACUACGUAUACUAUAGUAGCACUCCAAAUAGUAUGCUCAAUGAACCAAAUAUAAUGCUCAGAACUCUAUCUCUAAAUGAACUAUGAAAUGAAUACUAGAAAACUAGAAAUGAACUAUGAAAUGCUUGGAUUAGAAUGAUCGAAGUGGCUGCCCCCUAGUCUAUUUAUAAGAGGGAAUAUUGACCCAUCGAUGGGUCUUUAACAGAAAGGACGAAUUCGUUCGGUCCAAAACAACAUAAUUUUUGUCUUAGCAGAAAAAAAACGACGUAGUUUUAGACUUGUCAGAAAGGGUGCGUCCGUUCAGGCAAAAACGACAUAGUUUUGGGGCGUCCGUUCAGGCAGAUAGCACUUCCCAAAAUGACGCGGUAUUGACAUGUCCGUUUGGAAGAUAAUACUUCCCAAAACGACACAGUUUUGAUAAUAGAACUAAAAUAAAAUAAAUUUUAAAUUUUGUCUAAAAGAUUAUAUACAAGGAGCCAAACCUACGAACCGCGAGCCUCGAAUAUGAGCCUGGCCCGGCCAGGCCUGCUGGUCGGUUGGCGCGCGUGUGGGUUCGAACCAAGUUUUGGCUAGGUCCUCUCCCUUCCACAAAAGUGGAGAGCCCUUGGGGCCCAAACCCAAGAGCAACUUUAUUGUAUAUAAACACAUUUAAUAUUUAGUUCUUAACCAAUGUGGGACUUAGCUUCCCACAAAUAUUUAUUAUCAUUUUCAAGGGUGAUUUUUGGGAGUUAAUUUUUCAUUCAUUAUUCCAUGGAUUUGAGCUUUCAAAUGCUUAAUUUUAAUCUACGCAUGGAGUAGAACACAUUGAUAUGUGAAUUCAUUUCCAUUUCAAUUUUUGCUCAAAUUAUAACAAUCCACCACAUGAAUGAAAUUGACUGCCAGCCUUAUGCAAAUAUUAUGUAGACUCUUAGAGAGAGAGAGAAUUGGAAAUCAUCUGUAUAAAGAGAGGUGAUUUUUGGGUUUGAACCUUCCCUUGUGAAAGACUAUCGGAUUUAUUGGUUGUCCAGUGAACGUGAUGUCUUGAACUAUCCAAUCGUUUGUGUACAUUGAGAAAAUAGUAAUUCACACCUAAUAUUUCUAGACAUUAUUUGGUUCUCAUGAUUUUGUUCAUUUCGGCCCCGAACAAUCUCGAAUUUAUGAGUGCUUUAGAGAAGUAUAAUCUUAUCCUUCUCAUAUAAUUGGCCCAGUUCAAACUCACAUAGGUGAUUCUUAAUAAGAGUAUUAUGUCAUACUCCACUUGAUGAGGACAUGACAUGCGUGAAUUCAAACAAGACUAAAGGGACGUGGGGAUCAAGCAAGGCUAGAACAAAGAGGUUCAAACAAGGUCUCAAUAGAUUGAUCCAAGAUGUUUGGGCUGAAGCUAACGCAAAAAAUCUAAAGAAGAGGCUAGUGAACAUGAGACACAAAUUUGGGUCAAUUUGAUACAAGCCUAAUUCUGAGUCCGCGAAUUAAAUAUUCAGCAAUUACUUCUCAAAAUUACCAUAUUAUUUAUACUCGUGGGCCUACAUGCAACAAUCAUUACACUACUGUUGUUAAUUGAAUUUGGUGCAGCAACAUUACUCUAGCUAAUUGAAUUUGGUGCAUUAAAUUCCUUUUACAAAUUGAAAUUGGAUAUCAGCCUUCUUAUUUCCUAAAUUGAUGUCAGCAUCCGUGUUACUUUCCUUUUUCCUACAUUCGGUAUUGUCCAACUUCAUGAAGGAAUUUCGGUGACUUCACGCGACAAUGACCUUCACGCGGCAAUGGAUUGCUUAUACAUGGCAAGUUGAUGUGGCAAAGAAUUUUUAUUUUAUUUGGAUUUUUAAUUCUUAAAUUCUAUUGUAAUUUGGAUUUCUUUUCCAAAUUGACUUCUAUUUCCUUAUAGCAAUUAGGGUUAUAGUUUAUAAAUUCCUAUUAGAAUUUAGAUUGUUUUGAGUAGUAUAAAUAGAGGUCCAAGUUGAUGUAAUCAAACACAUUAUUCAUUAUUCAAUAUAUUUGUGAGGUUAUUCUCUACUUUUGGUUCUUUGAAGAAUUCCUAAGUAUUUUCUUAGUUAUUUCUUUGAGAUUCAAUUUGACUUAUCACACAACAAUUCAUAGUUGUGUGUGGCGUCUUCUAUCGCAUCAAUCGUCGAUUGUACCGAGAUUACCGCUUCAAUAUAAGUAAGGGGUCAAGGUGUCGUUCGUGUCCAUUCAACGCAGAAUUUUGAACGCGAGCAAUUGUACCAAGAUUACCGUCUAUAUAUAGGCAAGGGGUUAAGGUGUUGCAAGCAAUUCAUCCAACAACUGUGCUAGAAACGAUCGGGGCGGCGACCACCUCACGCAAGCGUGUCGUGGAGUCUAUCAUUUGGUAUCAGAGCUAAGCCUUUCUAGCAAGUUACUUAUCUUUAAUUUUCUGUCGAAAUAUAUAUUAUAAAAAAAAGAAAAAAAAAGGAAAAAAAAAUUAUAUUCUAUUUUCAUUGUGCUAACCAAACUUGUAGCACACCAUCAAAUCAUCAAAUCAUCAAAUUCCAACCAAGAGUUCAUACCGUUCCAUCAUCAUCAAUUCUGAAACGAAGCUACAAUUUACAAAUCUGAAGCAUACAAGAGGAGUACAAGGCAAUCGAUCGGUGAUUUUGCGGUAUUCUGAUAGUCACAACAUCUAUAAUUUUGUUUCGUGAUAAGUAAUUUUGAAUUGAUUAGUAAAACCAAGAAUUUUGCUAGGGAAUUCAAUAAGAACCUAUUAGAGAGAAUAUUUGAGGUAAAAGGCUUAGUGGUGAGAUUAAUCGAGGGUAAAAGCCAAUUUAUUGAGAGUAUACACAAGUGAACCAUUGAUUCGAGCGAAACACGUAAGGGAGUGGUGAGGAAACUAUUUUCUAUUAACCCUUAUUUUGCAGGAAAUAUGUCUAGCUCGAAGGAUAAAUGAACUUAUGAGGAACAACCUUCGACAGCUGAAUUAAAAUUUUAGAUGGAAGCCAUGCAUAAAGAAUGGGAUCGAAGAUUGAGAAAGACUAUGGAGCAAAUGCAAGAACAAUUAGAAGAGAUGAGGGUGUCUGUGACGGAGCUAUCCCAAAACACUCAUGGGAUGCAUAACAAGAAGUGGGAACAACAAACUAGUGCAAGAAAGGAAGACCCUUACGGUGAGUACAGUAGUGCAGCGGAAGAUCGUGAAUCUAAUUUUUCGCAUCAAAGACCCGGAGGUGCUAGGGAAAGAGGAGAUUGGUACAGAGAACAUAGCAAUUUGGAUAGCAUAAAAAUGAUGAUUCUAGCUUUCCAAGGCACGGGUGAUCCUGAGGCUUAUUUGGAUUGGGUAACCAAGAUGGAGCGAAUCUUUGAUUGUCAUAAUUAUUCAGACCUUAAGAAAGUCAAACUGGUCGUUACGGAGUUUUCGGGAUAUGCAUUGAUAUGGUGGGAUCAAUUGACAGCUAAUUGGAGAAGGUGUGAAGAGCGGCCGAUUACAACUUGGGCGGAGAUGAAAGUUAUCAUGAAAAAGAGGUUUAUACCAGCAUACUAUCAACGGGAGAUCAUUCGUAGUUUACAAACUCAUAAACAGGGAAGUCAAAGUGUGGAUGAAUAUUACAGGGAGAUGGAAAUGUUGAAAGAUCGGGCUAAUGUGAUUGAGGAUAAUGAAACAGCGAUGGCUAGGUUCUCGGCAGGAUUGAACUUUGAACUGGGAGAUUGCAGACUUGGUUGAACGAUAACAUUAUUUGGAGUUAGAAGAACUGGUACUUAUGGCUACUAAGGUAGAGAAACAACUCAAGAGGCGAGGAGGACAACGAGGACAAUCUAAUGCUAGUUCAUCAUGGAGACCUAAUUUAGCAAAGCGAGAGGAAAAGACAGCUGCGUUCAAACCAAAGAUGGAACCUAAGCAAGGAUCGACUAGCCGAGAAACACAAGGUAAAACUGAAAAACCUUCUUUUAGUCAUAAUCGGGAUAUUGUAUGCUUUAAGUGUCAAGGCAGGGGACAUAUUUCUAGCCAAUGUCCAAAUCAGAGGAGAAUGUUGUUGCUUGACAAUGGAGAUGUGGAGACCGAGGGGGAAGAAAGCGACACUGAUUCUAUGCCACCAUUAGAGGAGAUAGGUGAGGAUGCGAUACAUGGUGAAAUUCUGGUUACAAGAAGAGCACUUAGUAUGCAAGUUAAGGAGGAGAGCAGUGAACAGCGGGAAAAUCUAUUCCAUACUCGAUGUCUUAUGAAUGCGAAAAUCUGUUGUGUAGUCAUAGAUGGAGGCAGCUGUACAAAUGUGGCAAGCACUAAGAUGGUGGAGAAAUUGGGGUUACCUACUACCAAACAUCCGCAUCCGUAUCGUUUGUAGUGGCUCAAUGGUAAUGCAGACAUUAAAGUAACCAAACAGGUGUUAGUUCCAUUUGCUAUUGGUCGGUAUGUUGAUGAGGUAUUGUGUGAUGUGGUGCCUAUGCAGGCGGGGCAUAUGUUAUUGGGUAGACCAUGGCAGUUCGAUAGAAGGGUUCAACAUGAUGGGUUUACCAAUGUAUAUUCCUUUGUUCAUGACAAUAAAAAGAUCUCUUUGUGUCCUUUGUCACCACAACAAGUACAUGAAGAUCAAAUUCAUUUGUAGAAAGAUUAUGUACAAAGAAAAGAGAGUGAAGAAAAGAAAAAUCAAGAAGAAAAAAAGAGAGAAAAACAAAUAUACUGGCAAAAAAGAGUGAUGUGAGAAGAGCUUUGAUUUCUAAAUAGCCAAUGAUUUUACUUCGGUAUAAAGAGGCUCUUUUGAAUACUAACGCUAAUGAUUCUUUGCCUAGUGUUGUUUCAUCUCUCUUAUAGGAAUUCAAAGAUGUAUUUCCCGAGGAGCGUCCUCAUGGACUACCACCUAUUCAGGGAAUUGAGCAUCAAAUUGAUUUUGUUCCCGGUGCGACGAUUCCAAACCGUCCAGCUUAUCGAAGUAAUCCUGAGGAGACGAAGGAGUUACAAAGGCAAGUUGACGAGCUGAUGGGGAAAGGGUUCGUAAGAGAAAGUAUGAGCUCGUGUGCAGUUUCGGUGAUUCUAGUGCCAAAAAAGGAUGGAAGAUGGAGGAUGUGCAUCGAUUGUCGAGCGGUAAAUAACAUUACGGUAAAAUAUCAACAUCCCAUUCCUCGUUUAGAUGACAUGUUAGAUGAAUUACAUGGGUCUUGCAUAUUUUCAAAAAUUGAUUUAAAAAGUGGGUAUCAUCAAAUUAGAAUGCAAGAGGGUGAUGAAUGGAAAAUGGCAUUUAAAACUAAAUAUGGUCUUUAUGAACGGUUAGUAUUACCUUUUAGUUUAACUAAUGCACCGAGCACUUUCAUUCAUUGGAAAAUUUGUCGUAGUUUAUUUUGAUGAUAUCUUGAUUUAUAGCAAAAACUUGGAAGAUCAUGCAUUGCAUUUAAAAUCUGUUUUAGAUGUACUUAAGAAAGAAAAGUUAUUUGCUAACAUGGAAAAAUGCACGUUUUGUUCGGAUAAAAUUGUUUUUCUUGGCUUUGUUGUGAGUUCACAAGGAGUCCAAGUUUAUGAGGAAAAAAUACGUGCGAAUUGGAUUGGCCGAGUCCAACCAAUGUGAGUCAAGUACGAAGCUUUCAUGGACUCGCGAGUUUCUACCGACGUUUUGUUCAGAAUUUCAGUGAGAUUACAACACCAUUGACCGAGGUCAUCAAGAAAAGUGUGGGCUUUAAGUGGGGUGAUGAACAGGAAAAAGCAUUUAAUUUGAUUAAGGAUAAAUUGACAAAUGCUCCUUUACUUAUUUUGCCUAACUUUGCUAAAACUUUUGAGAUUGAGUGUGAUGCUUCAGGUUUAGGGAUUGGAGCUGUGUUGAUGCAAGAAGGGAAACCAGUGGCGUAUUUUAGCGAAAAGUUGAGUGGGGCAGCUUUGAACUAUCCUACAUACGACAAAGAGAUGUACGCUUUGGUUAGAGCUUUAGAGACAUGGCAACAUUACUUGUGGCCUAAGGAGUUUGUGAUCCACACCGAUCAUGAAUCAUUGAAAUAUUUGAAGGGUCAACACAAGUUGAACAAAAGGCAUGCACGAUGGAUGGAAUUUAUCGAGACAUUUCCAUAUGUUAUUCGAUAUAAACAAGGUAAGGAGAACGUCGUUGCAGAUGCUUUGUCUUGCAUGUAUGUUUUGUUAAAUACUCUUGAUAUGAAAUUGCUUGGGUUUGAACGAAUUAAAGAGUUAUAUGAUAAUGACCUUGAUUUUGGCAAAGAGUUUAAAACUUGUGAAAAGAAUGUUGUGGGUAAAUACUUUAGAAUUGAUGGAUUCUUGUUUCGUGAAAAUAAACUAUGUAUUCCUGCAUGUUCUUUGCGUGAGUUAUUGGUUAGGGAAUCACAUGGGGGUGGUUUAAUGGGACAUUUUGGUGUAGAUAAAACUUUUGCUAUUUUAAAAGAACAUUUUUAUUGGCCUCAUAUGAAACGAGAUGUAGAAAGAAUAUGUGAUAGAUGUAUUACUUGUCGCCAAGCUAAAUCUCGUGUUCAACCCCAUGGAUUGUAUACACCAUUGCCUAUUCCUAAUGAACCUUGGAUUGAUCUUUCUAUGGACUUUGUGUUGGGUUUACCUAGGUCUAAGCGUGGUCAUGAUUCGAUAUUUGUGGUCGUAGAUAGAUUUUCAAAAAUGACACAUUUUAUUCCAUGUCAUAAAACUGAUGAUGCAUCUCAUGUUGCUGAUUUAUUCUUUAAGGAGAUUGUGUGUUUGCAUGGUAUGCCUAAAACUAUUGUUUCUGAUAGAGAUACAAAGUUCUUGAGUUACGUUUGGAAGACCUUGUGGUGUAAAUUGGGUACUAAACUGUUAUUUUCUACUACUUGUCAUCCACAAACCAAUGGUCAAACUGAAGUAGUAAAUAGGACUUUGUCGGCAUUGUUACGGGCUAUCAUUAAAAAGAAUAUCAAGCAAUGGGAAGAAUGUUUACCACAUGUUGAGUUUGUAUAUAACCGUUCUGUUCAUUCUGCUACUAAUUUUUCUCCAUUUGAAAUUGUAUAUGCUUUUAAUCCCUUGACACAGUUGGAUUUAUCACCAUUACCUGUUUCUGAAUAUACUAACAUGAAUGGAAAGAAAAAGGCUGAUCUUGUUAAGUAGAUUCAUGAAAAAGCAAGACUAAACAUUGAACGGAGGACGGAACAAUACAUUAAGCACGCCAACAAGGGACGACAUCAAGUGAUCUUUGAACCCAGAGAUUGGGUGUGGUUACAUAUGCGAAAAGAAAGAUUCCCCGUUCAAAGACGUUCGAAAUUGCUUCCGAGGGGAGAUGGUCAAUUUCAAGUUCUCGAGCGUAUCAAUGACAAUGCCUAUAAACUGGAUUUCCAAGUUGAGUAUAAUGUUAGUGCCACAUUUAACGUUACUGAUCUAAGUCCGUUUGAUGUAGGUGACGAUUUGAGGACAAAUCCUUUUCAAGAGGAGAGGAGUGAUGAGGACAUGACAUGCGUGAAUUCAAAAAAGACUAAAGGGACGUGGGGAUCAAGCAAGGCUAGAACAAAGAGGUUCAAAUAAGGUCUCAAUAAAUUGAUCCAAGAUGUUUGGGCUGAAGCUAACGCAAGAAAAUCUAAAGAAGAGGCUAGUGAGCAUGAGACUCAAAUUUGGGUCAAUUUGAUACAAGCCUAAUUCUGAGUCCGCGAAUUAAAUAUUCAACAAUUACUUCUCAAAAUUACCAUAUUAUUUAUACUCGUGGGCCUACAUGCAACAAUCAUUACACUACUGUUGUUAAUUGAAUUUGGUGCAGUAACAUUACUCUUGCUAAUUGAAUUUGGUGCAUUAGAUUCCUUUUACAAAUUGAAAUUGGAUAUCAGCCUUCUUAUUUCCUAAAUUGAUGUCAGCAUCCGUGUUACUUUCCUUUUUCCUACAUUCGGUAUUGUCCAACUUCAUGAAGGAAUUUCGGUGACUUCACGCGACAAUGACCUUCACGCGGCAAUGGAUUGCUUAUACACGGCAAGUUGACGUGGUGAAGAAUUUUUAUUUUAUUUGGAUUUUUAAUUUUUAAAUUCUAUUGUAAUUAGGAUUUCUUUUCCAAAUUGACUUCAAUUUCCUUAUAGCAAUUAGGGUUAUAGUUUAUAAAUUCCUAUUAGAAUUUAGAUUGUUUUGAGUAGUAUAAAUAGAGGUCCAAGUUGAUGUAAUCAAACACAUUAUUCAUUAUUCAAUAUAUUUGUGAGGUUAUUCUCUACUUUUUGUUCGUUGAAGAAUUCCUAAGUAUUUUCUUAGUUAUUUCUUUUAGAUUCAAUUUGACUUAUCAUACAACAAUUCAUAGUUGUGUGUGGCGUCUUCUACCGCAUCAAUCGUUGAUUGUACUGAGAUUACCGCUUCAAUAUAAGCGAGGGGUCAAGGUGUCGUUGGUGUCCAUUCAACGCAGAAUUCCGAACGCGAGUAAUUGUACCUAGAUUACCGUCUACAUAUAGGCGAGGGGUUAAGAUGUUGCAAGCAAUUCAUCCAACAACUGUGCUAGAAACGAUCGGGGCGGCGACCACCUCACGCAAGUGUGUCGUGGAGUCUAUCAUUUGGUAUCAGAGCUAAGCUUUUCUAGCAAGUUACUUAUCUUUAAUUUUCUGUCGAAAUAUAUAUUAUAAAAAAAGAAAAAAAAGAAAAAAAAAGGAAAAAAAAUUAUAUUCUAUUUUCAUUGUGUUAACCAAACUUGUAGCACACCAUCAAAUCAUCAAAUUCCAACCAAGAGUUCAUACCGUUCCAUCAUCACCAAUUCUGAAACGGAGCUACAAUUUACAAAUCUGAAGCAUACAAGAGGAGUACAAGGCAAUCGAUCGGUGAUUUUGUGGUAUUCUGAAAGUCACAAUAUCUAUAAUUUUGUUUCGUGAUAAGUAAUUUUGAAUUGAUUAGUAAAACCAAGAAUUUUGUUAGGGAAUUCAAUAAGAACCUAUUAGAGAGAAUAUUUGAGGUAAAAGGCUUAGUGGUGAGAUUAAUCGAGGGUAAAAGCCAAUAUAUUGAGAGUAUACACAAGUGAACCAUUGAUUCGAGCGAAACACGUAAGGGAGUGGUGAGGAAACUAUUUUCUAUUAACCCUUAUUUUGCAGGAAAUAUGUCUAGCUCGAAGGAUAAAGGAGCUUAUGAGGAACAACCUUCGACUGCCAAAUUAAAAUUUUAGAUGGAAGCCAUGCAUAAAGAAUGGGAUCGAAGAUUGAGAAAGACUAUGGAGAAAAUGCAAGAACAAUUAGAAGAGAUGAGGGUGUCUAUGACGGAGCUAUCCCAAAACACUCAUGGGAUGCAUAACAAGAAAAGGGAACAACAAACUGGCGCAAGAAAGGAAGACCCUUACGGUGAGUACAGUAGUGCAGCGAAAGAUCGUGAAUCUAAUUUUUCACAUUAAAGACCCGGAGGUGCUAGGGAAAGAGGAGGUUGGUACAGAGAAGAUAGCAAUUUGGAUAGCAUAAAAAUGAAGAUUCCAUCUUUCCAAGGCACGGGUGAUCCUGAGGCUUAUUUGGAUUGGGUAACAAAGAUGGAGCGAAUCUUUUACUGUCACAAUUAUUCAGACCUUAAGAAAGUCAAACUGGCCGUUACGGAGUUUUCGGGAUAUGCAUUGAUAUGGUGGGAUCAAUUGACAGCUAAUUGGAGAAGGUGUGAAGAGCGGCCGAUUACAACUUGGGCGGAGAUGAAAGUUAUCAUGAAAAAGAGGUUUGUACCAGCAUACUAUCAACGGGAGAUCAUUCGUAGUUUAUAAACUCAUAAACAGGGAAGUCAAAGUGUGGAUGAAUAUUACAGGGAGAUGGAAAUGUUGAAGGAUCGGGCUAAUGUGAUUGAGGAUAAUGAAACAGCGAUGGCUAGGUUCUCGACAGGAUUGAACUUUGAACUGGGAGAUUGCAGACUUGGUUGAACGAUAACAUUAUUUGGAGUUAGAAGAACUGGUACAUAUGGCUACUAAGAUAGAGAAACAACUCAAGAGGCGAGGAGGACAACAAGGAUAAUCUAAUGCUAGUUCAUCAUGGAGACCUAAUUUAACAAAGCGAGAGGAAAAGACAGCUGCGUUCAAACCAAAGGUGGAACCUAAGCAAGGAUCGACUAGCCGAGAAACACAAGGUAAAACUGAAAAACCUUCUUUUAGUCAUAAUCGGGAUAUUGUAUGCUUUAAGUGUCAAGGCAGGGGACAUAUUUCUAGCCAAUGUCCAAAUCAGAGGAGAAUGUUGUUGCUUGACAAUGGAGAUGUGGAGACCGAGGGGGAAGAAAGCGACACUGAUUCUAUGCCACCAUUAGAGGAGAUAGGUGAGGAUGCGAUACAUGGUGAAAUUCUGGUUACAAGAAGAGCACUUAGUAUGCAAGUUAAGGAGGAGAGCAGUGAACAGCGGGAAAAUCUAUUCCAUACUCGAUGUCUUAUGAAUGCGAAAAUCUGUUGUGUAGUCAUAGAUGGAGGCAGCUGUACAAAUGUGGCAAGCACUAAGAUGGUGGAGAAAUUGGGGUUACCUACUACCAAACAUCCGCANNNNNNNNNNNNNNNNNNNNNNNNNNNNNNNNNNNNNNNNNNNNNNNNNNNNNNNNNNNNNNNNNNNNNNNNNNNNNNNNNNNNNNNNNNNNNNNNNNNNNNNNNNNNNNNNNNNNNNNNNNNNNNNNNNNNNNNNNNNNNNNNNNNNNNNNNNNNNNNNNNNNNNNNNNNNNNNNNNNNNNNNNNNNNNNNNNNNNNNNNNNNNNNNNNNNNNNNNNNNNNNNNNNNNNNNNNNNNNNNNNNNNNNNNNNNNNNNNNNNNNNNNNNNNNNNNNNNNNNNNNNNNNNUUUAAAACUAAAUAUGGUCUUUAUGAAUGGUUAGUAUUACCUUUUGGUUUAACUAAUGCACCGAGCACUUUCAUGAGAUUAAUGAACCAUGUUUUGCGUCCAUUUAUUGGAAAAUUUGUCGUAGUUUAUUUUGAUGAUAUCUUGAUUUAUUGUAAAAUCUUGGAAGAUCAUGCAUUGCAUUUAAAAUCUGUUUUAGAUGUACUUAAGAAAGAAAAGUUAUUUGCUAACAUGGAAAAAUGCACGUUUUGUUCGGAUAGAAUUGUUUUUCUUGGCUUUGUUGUGAGUUCACAGGGAGUCCAAGUUUAUGACGAAAAAAUACGUGCGAUCCAGGAUUGGCCGAGUCCAACCAAUGUGAGUCAAGUACAAAGCUUUCAUGGACUCGCGAGUUUCUACCGACAUUUUGUUCGAAAUUUCAGUGAGAUUACAACACCAUUGACCGAGGUCAUCAAGAAAAAUGUCGGCUUUAAGUUGGGUGAUGAACAGGAAAAAGCAUUUAAUUUGAUUAAGGAUAAAUUGACAAAUGCUCCUUUAUUUAUUUUGCCUAACUUUGCUAAAACUUUUGAGAUUGAGUGUGAUGCUUCAGGUUUAGGGAUUGGAGCUGUGUUGAUGCAAGAAGGGAAACCAGUGGCGUAUUUUAACGAAAAGUUGAGUGGGCCAGCUUUGAACUAUCCUACAUACGACAAAGAGAUGUACGCUUUGGUUAGAGCUUUAGAGACAUGGCAACAUUACUUGUGGCCUAAGGAGUUUUUGAUCCACACCGAUCAUGAAUCAUUGAAAUAUUUGAAGGGUCAACACAAGUUGAACAAAAGACAUGCACGAUGGAUGGAAUUUAUCGAGACAUUUCCAUAUGUUAUUCGAUAUAAGCAAGGUAAGGAGAAUGUCGUUGCAAAUGCUUUAUCUCGCAGGUAUGUUUUGUUAAAUACUCUUGAUACUAAAUUGCUUGGGUUUGAACGAAUUAAAGAGUUAUAUGAUAAUGACCUUGAUUUCGGUGAAGAGUUUAAAACUUGUGAAAAGAAUGCUGUGGGUAAAUACUUUAGAAUUGAUGGAUUCUUGUUUCGAGAAAAUAAACUAUGUAUUCCUGCAUGUUCUUUACGUGAGUUGUUGGUUAGGGAAUCACAUGGGGGCGGUUUAAUGGGACAUUUUGGUAUUGACAAAACUUUUGCUAUUUUAAAAGAACAUUUUUAUUGGCCUCAUAUGAAACGAGAUGUGGAAAGAAUAUGUGAUAGAUGUAUUACUUGUCGCCAAGCUAAAUCUCGUGUUCAACCCCAUGGAUUGUAUACACCAUUGCCUAUUCCUAAUGAACCUUGGAUUGAUCUUUCUAUGGACUUUGUGUUGGGUUUACCUAGGUCUAAGCGUGGUCAUGAUUCGAUAUUUGUGGUCGUAGAUAGAUUUUCAAAAAUGACACAUUUUAUUCCAUGUCAUAAAACUGAUGAUGCAUCUCAUGUUGCUGAUUUAUUCUUUAAGGAGAUUGUGUGUUUGCAUGGUAUGCCUAAAACUAUUGUUUCUGAUAGAGAUACAAAGUUCUUGAGUUAUUUUUGGAAGACCUUGUGGUGUAAAUUGGGUACUAAACUGUUAUUUUCUACUACUUGUCAUCCACAAACCGAUGGUCAAACUGAAGUAGUAAAUAGGACUUUGUCGGGAUUAUUACGGGCUAUCAUUAAAAAGAAUAUCAAGAAAUGGGAAGAAUGUUUACCACAUGUUGAGUUUGUAUAUAACCAUUCUGUUCAUUCUGCUACUAAUUUUUCUCCAUUUGAAAUUGUAUAUGCUUUUAAUCCCUUGACACCGUUGGAUUUAUCACCAUUACCUGUUUCUGAAUAUACUAACAUGAAUGGAAAGAAAAAGGCUGAUCUUGUUAAGCAGAUUCAUGAAAAAGCAAGACUAAACAUUAAACGGAGGACGGAACAAUACAUUAAGCACGCCAACAAGGGACGACAUCAAGUGAUCUUUGAACCCAGAGAUUGGGUGUGGUUACAUAUGCGGAAAGAAAGAUUCCCCGUUCAAAGACAUUCGAAAUUGCUUCCGAGGGGAGAUGGUCAAUUUCAAGUUCUCGAGCGUAUCAAUGACAAUGCCUAUAAACUGGAUUUUCCAGGUGAGUAUAAUGUUAGUGCCACAUUUAACGUUAGUGAUCUAAGUCCGUUUGAUGUAGGUGACGAUUUGAGGACAAAUCCUUUUCAGGAGGAGAGGAGUGAUGAGGACAUGACAUGCGUGAAUUCAAAAAAGACUAAAGGGACGUGGGGAUCAAGCAAGGCUAGAACAAAGAGGUUCAAACAAGGUCUCAAUGGAUUGAUCCAAGAUGUUUGGGCUGAAGCUAACGCAAGAAGAUCUAAAGAAGAUGCCAGUGAGUAUGAGACACAAAUUUGGGUCAAUUUGAUACAAGCCUAAUUCUGAGUCCGCGAAUUAAAUAUUCAGCAAUUACUUCUCAAAAUUACCAUAUUAUUUAUACUCGUGGGCCUACAUGCAACAAUCAUUACACUACUGUUGUUAAUUGAAUUUGGUGCAGCAACAUUACUCUUGUUAAUUGAAUUUGGUGCAUUAGAUUCCUUUUACAAAUUGAAAUUGGAUAUCAGCCUUCUUAUUUCCUAAAUUGAUGUCAGCAUCCGUGUUACUUUCCUUUUUCCUACAUUCGGUAUUGUCCAACUUCGUGAAGGAAUUUCGGUGACUUCACGCGACAAUAACCUUCACGCGGCAAUGGAUUGCUUAUACACGGCAAAUUGACGUGGCGAAGAAUUUUUAUUUUAUUUGAAUUUUUAAUUUUUAAAUUCUAUUGUAAUUUGGAUUUCUUUUCCAAAUUGACUUCUAUUUCCUUAUAGCAAUUAGGGUUAUAGUUUAUAAAUUCCUAUUAGAAUUUAGAUUGUUUUGAGUAGUAUAAAUAGAGGUCCAAGUUGAUGUAAUCAAACACAUUAUUCAUUAUUCAAUAUAUUUAUGAGGUUAUUCUCUACUUUUGGUUCUUUGAAGAAUUCCUAAGUAUUUUCUUAGUUAUUUCUUUGAGAUUCAAUUUGACUUAUCACACAACAAUUCAUAGUUGUGUGUGGCGUCUUCUACCGUAUCAAUCGUCGAUUGUACCGAGAUUACCACUUCAAUAUAAGCGAGGGGUCAAGGUGUCAUUGGUGUCCAUUCAACGCAGAAUUCCGAACGCGAGUAAUUGUACCUAGAUUACCGUCUACAAUAUAGGCGAGGGGUUAAGGUGUUGCAAGCAAUUCAUCCAACAACUGUGCUAGAAAUGAUCGGGGCGGCGACCACCUUACGGAAGCGUGUCGUGGAUUCUAUCACCACUUGUUUAUCAAGAUUUAAGAAUCAUUAAAAGUAUAGCUUAUCCUAAAACUGUUGCAGGUAUCACUAUCUCGUAUCAUAGAAAUGAGUUGAAGAAAUUAAUUUCUUCAUAGUGAUUUGGUUGAAUUAUUCUCAAUUUAGUUGUACCUUUGAACCUAUAUCUUUGGAUCUCCAGACAAUUAGGUUGGGUUUCUAUCACAACGAUUCUUAUUUAGAGGUUUUAAACUCAUUCCCCUCGAUAUUAUUUUUACUUGCUCUCUAGUCAAACCUUUAGUUAACGGAACUGCUAUAUUUUUUUAGACUUUAUGUACUUAAUAGACACAAUUCCAUUAGAGAUCAAUUGUUUUAUGGUAUUGUGUCUACGACUCUUAUGUCUAGAAUUACCAUUAUGUAUGUGACUCUGUGCCUUCCAAUCGCUGAUUGGCUAUCACACUAAUACAAAUAGGCGGCACAGGUUUAGGCCACAUAUGAAUAUCUUCUAAAAAGUGAUGAAGCUACUCAGCUUCUUCUCCAACCUUAUCCAAUGCAAUAAAAUUAGAUUCCAUAGUUGAUCGAGUAAUGCAUGUAUGUUUAGAAGAUUUCCAUGAAACUGCUCCUCCACCUAGUGUAAAUACAAAACUACUUGUGAAUUUAGAGUCUAUUGUAUCCGAUAUCCAGUUCGCAUAUAUCACAGUAUCCUUCAAGUACUGAUGGAUAUCUUGAGUAAUGCAAUCCAAAAUUUUGAGUAUAUUUUAAAUACCUUAAAACUCUUAUAAUCGCUUUCCAGUGAUCUUGUCUUAGAUUACUUGUAAAUCUACUCAAUUUAUUGACUACAUAUGCUAUGUCAGGACGUGCACAAUUCAUUACGUACAUAAGGCUUCCAAUUAUUUGUGCAUACUCAGGUUGUGAUAUGCUCUCUACUUUAUUUUUACACAAAUGUAGAUUUAUAUCUACCGGUGUUCCCACAGGAUUGCAAUCAUAUUGAUUGAAUUUCCUAAGUAUUUUCUCAUUAUAGUGUGAUUGUGAUAAUACUAACCCAUCCGAUGUUUUAGAAAUUUUAAUUCCUAAUAUUACAUCAGCAACACCCAUGUCUUUUAUGUCAAAUAUAUUAUUUAACAUUCUUUUGGAAGUUUUAAUAAUUUCAUUAUUACUACCCAUAAUGAGCGUAUCAUCUACAUAGAGACAAAUAAUGAAAAACCAUUUUUCAGUGUCCUUGACAUACACACAUUUGUCACACUCAUUUAUCUUGAAACCAUUUGACAACAUUGCACUAUCAAAUUUUUCAUGUCAUUGUUCAAUUGCUUAUUUUUAUCCAUAAAGGGAAUUCACAAGCCGGCAUACUUUCUUUUCUUGUCCUGGAAUAAUAAACCCUUCUGGUUAUUCCAUGUAGAUUUCUUCUUCUAAAUCUCCAUAGUCUUGCUUUAUAUUUAUCUAUAUAUCCAUCUGCUUUCAUUUUCUUCUUGAAUAUCCACUUGUAUCCAAGAGGUUUAGAGUCAGGUAGGAGAUCUACUAAUUCCCAUGAAUGAUUAUUUAAUAUAAAUUCUACUUCACUAUUUAUAGUCUCUUUCCAAUAUGGAGUUUCGGGACUCGACACCGCUUCUCUAUAAGCUUGAGGCUCAUUUUCUAACAAAUAAGUUACAAAAUCUAGACCAUAAAAUUUUGAUAUUCUAGCACGUUUACUAUGUCUAGGUUCAUCAAUAUCUUCUAAUCCAUGCAUGAUCAUUUUUAUUAACAGUGUCAUAAGUUCUUUUGUUUGAACUUGUUUCUUGUUCAUUAAAACUUGACUCUUGUUCCUUUUUAUUAGGAAAUACUGUUUCAAAGAAUUCAACAUCUUUUGACUCAAUAAUAAUAUUUUCAUAUAUUUCCUCUAUUUUUGAUUUAUUAACCGAAAAUAUAUAUGCAUUGCUAUUAUUAGCAUAACCAAUGAAUAUACAAUCUAUUAUUUUUGGUCCUUUUUUUACCUUUUUGGGUGGAGGAACCAUUACUUUUUCUAAACACCCCCACACUUUUAAGUGUUUAUAAGACGGCUUACGUCCUUUCCAUAAUUCAUAGGAUGAAGCAUUACACUUCUUUUGAGGUAUUCCAUUGACAAUAUAAUUUGCUGAAAGAAUUUCGUCCCCCACAAAUUCUGAGGUAGCCCAGAGCAUAAUAAUAAUGCAUUCAUCAUUUCUUUCAAAGUUAUUUUUUUCUUUCUGCAACAUCAUUUUGUGAUGGUGAAUAAGGUGCAGUUGUUUGGUGUAUUAUACCAUUUUGUGAACAAAUUUCAACAAAAGAAAAUUUAUAUUCCCCACCUUUAUCACUUCUAACUAUCUUGAUCUUUUUAUCAAGUCGAUUCUCAACCUCAUUUUCAUAAUGUAUAAACAUUUCCAAAUCCUCAUCUUUACUUCUCAAUAAGUAAACAUAACAAUAUCUUGUAUAAUCAUCUAUAGAAGUAAGAAAGUAUUUCUUACCUCCUCUUGUUUGUAUAUAUUUUAAAUCACAAAUAUCAGUAUGUAUCAAUUCAAGAGGUUCUGUACUUCUUUCAAUUGAUUUAAAAAAAUAUUUCUGAAGUUUUGCCUUAACACAAACUUCACAUUUAUUAUUAGAGUUAAUCUCACAUUUUGGCAAACAUUCCAUAUUAAUUAAUCUACGUAUAGUAUUAUAAUUAAUAUGUCCUAAUCUACCAUGCCAUAAAUUAGAUGACUCAAUCAUAUAAGCAAAAAAUAUAAUUUUAUUAAUAUUGGAAGGUACAAUUGUCAUUAUAUUCAUUUUGAAGAGCCCAUUGCUCAUAUAUUUAUUUCCCGUAUACAUCCCAUUUUUAGUUAGGACAAACUUGUCUGAUACAAAGACCAAUUUAAAUCCCUUUUGACUAAGAAGGGAUCCUGACACUAAAUUCUUCCUAAUAUCAGGCACGUGGAGCAAGUUGUUGAGGGUGAGUUCCUUGCCAGAUGUCAUCUUCAAAACCACCUUUCCUUGUCCAGCAAUCUUGGAUGAAGAAGAAUUUCCCAUAUACAAGUGUUCUCCAUUCUCAAUUUCUUGAUAUGUGGAUAACAUCUUCCUUUCAGAACACACAUGGCGGGUUGCUCCAGUAUCUUCCCACCAUUCCCUGGGAGUAUCAACUAUGUUUACUUAAGAAACAACUGCUGAAAGGUUCAUUUCAAAAACAUCUUGAAGAAGACCAUCCACUUCUGUUACAUUGGCUUGUUGUUGUCAGUUUUAUAUACUAACAAUUCGCGCAAGUGCACACGGUCAACCAAGUAAUAUAGAAGUAAGAAGGAUGUCGAACCCAUAGAGAACAAGUAAUAAUAACUAUUCUAAUUAUCAAUUUUUUACUAAUUUAAAUCCACUUAAACAAUCACCUCAAUUGAUUUUUGAAAUUGUUUUGAAUAAAUAAAAUAAAACUCAAUUAACUAACAAGGAUUUGUCACCAGAUGAUUAAGACAUAGGGAAUACAAAUUUCUCAAUUGCUUAGCAUUAAUCGCCUUAUUUUAUUCCCACUUAAUUAAUCCAAUGAGUUGCUAACUAGGAUUGCUUAUGAAUUUAUAAACAUCUUUCAAUGAUUAAUAAAAAUACAUAUUUUAGUUAUAUUGCUAUUUUCAUGCAAGACAUUUAAAAUAGAUUCAUUAAGCACAAACUCUUAACAAAGUUACGUAUGACAUACAAGUAUUUUCAUCUUAUACACUGUUAUGUUAUCCUUAACAAGAAUCAACAAAAUCAUGCAUUAUUAUAUUCAUAUCUAAUAUAAGAUUUCCUUUUCCAAUUCCAUCAAAGAUAUCAGAUUAAUUGCUGGCCAAACAAUUAUUUAAUUAAACACAUAAUAUAAUAAUCAACUUAAUAAAAUAAAAAAGUGAAAAUAACGAUAAUUAAAUUAAUGCAUUGCAAAAGGUUCCAUUGUAUUCCUAAUUGGAAUUUAGUUCAUCAUAAUUAAGAAAACUAGCAUAAUGCAGUUAAAUAACAUCCCAAGUACAAAUAAAGAAGUAAGGAGAAGAAGAAAAACACUGUCGAGAAUCUCCAAACUUAGCAACUCCAAUCUCUGACUCUUAGUAUUCUUCAAUGCAAUCUCCAAAAGUCGGCUCUCAAUAAAAAAUCAACAAUCAUCAAGUUCUUUCUAAACUAGGGUUUAAGAGUUCACAAAGAUUUUAUACCUACUACUAAAUAACAAGCAUCUAUUUAUAGCAUACUGAUAUAAAUCCAACUCCUAAAAGAAUUAAAAAUGUCAAAGUAAAUUUCAAUUUGGCUUGGGAAUCAAUUAGCAAAUCUGGCAAAAUCCUGCUCGGUCGCGACCGUGUAUGACUCCUUUGUAUUUGAGGCGCUGCAGCGCUGCUAAAGAAUCUCAAUUGUCAUUUUUAAUCAAGUGUUAUCGUAUGUGCUCCCUAUGUAAUUAAGGCGCGGCCGCGCCUGGCCUGGUUUCUGCCCAAUUCAUUCUUUUUGCAUGCUAAGUCCAUCCUUACAUCCCUGUUCAAUUGCAACGCACCAUAACCUAUAAAAAUAAUGUAAAUGCAUGAAAUGUAACACAAACUUAAGAAGAUUAGCAAUAAUUUAAGUUAAACGAUAUCCGAAUCGUAGGUAUAAAACUCACUCAUCAAAUACCCCCAAACUUGAACCAUUGCUUACCCCCAAGCAAUCUAACACGCAAAAAGUAAAGAUGCAGACAAAACAAAACUAACUAUCAUGCAUACAACUAACGUCAUCGAGCUAAAACCACAAAAUCUAGGAUAUAUGCCUCAGAGAUUAUCAACGUAACUUAUAGCAAACUUCAUCUUAUGCAUAGUCAAAAACCUUUACAUUCUCACCAAGUUAUCACUAUUCAAGACCCUCCCUUUUGUGUGUGUGUCUAGUGUCAUAUCAACAACUCUUAGGUUGUUUAUGUGAUCAAGGCCAUAUACAAGACUCACCAAUCUCACUAAUUUUAGCCAAACAGGGUAUUCACAUAAGAACAAGGUUUAUAAUGAUCAUAAAGCAAGCAUAAAAGAAUUCUUGAAUUGCCCAUACUUAGCGGGUGCAUUUUACGCUCCGUCCCACUAUUUAUUUAAAUCCGACUUGUGCAAUGCUUAACUCUCUUAGGCUUUUCACCAUUACCCUUUUAGCAAACUUUCGACCAACGACUCCUAAACCAGUUGGUUUUUGGGUGAUGGGUGUAAAGACACCCCUAGGGCUUACUUGUUCGAGUAACAGCAACCACAAAAGUAAACUAAGCCAGCUUUUAUUCAUUACAUAUAUUUGUUUCAAUUUUCCAUUUCUUUUUUUUCAUUUUUUUAUAAUGUAGAUAAAUAUCAGAAUUCCCCCAAACUUAUAUGUCAACCCAUGUUUAGAUUUAAUCAAUGAUUAAGUAAGCUUAUUAAGUCAUGUCACACAUAAAGUCCCUAUUUGCCAUUGAUAAUCACCUGGUGUGCUUGUGUGUGGAAGAAAGCAUUAAGCACAAACCAUAAUAGACAAUCUAAGAAUAAUCAACAAUAAUUAAUAGAGAAGCAUAUUAAAAUAAACUACGCAACAAGCUCCAUUGUAAUCUUAAACAAGAAUUUAGUUCAUGAUUAUUAAAUUAAAAUCAAGAAUCCACAAUUGAAUAAACAUUAAAAGACAAAAAUAGAAGUAGAGGAGAAGAUAAAAUCUGUUGUCUACAGAUUUGAUGCUCCCUUCUUGCUCCUGCUCUUGAUCUUUAAUGAUCUCCAAGUUGCUUUAAUCUCCAAAUCUAAUAAAAACUAGGGUUUUGUCCUAAUCUAAUGAAUAUCUAAUCUAAUGGAAUCAUCCCCAUUAAUCCUUGUGAUUCUCCUCCUUAUAUGCCUCUCCAUGUGUCUUUUAGUCCUCCUCAAAGUCCUCGAACAAACAACUCAAACCAAUCUUCCUUGAACUCAACUUCUGAAAACUCUUUUUUUUUCUUCCCUACAAGCCCGCCCCGGCGGACUUUUUACACUAGGAAACCCCCGCCCCGGCGGGGGUACUUUUCCAAAAAUAAUAGAAAUGUCAAUAAGCUCCAUUUUUCAUAUUUUGACCUUCCGAAGCCAUUUCCUACAACAUAAACACAAAAAAACAAAUAAAAUGACACUAAAAAUACUUAAAGUUAACAAAGAAUUAAGCCUUAACGAUGUCCAAUUCGUAGGUAUAAAAAUCAUUCAUCACCUAUGAUCAUUAUUACUCAGGUAUAUUCUACAUGACUUGUAAUUAUAGUAUAUAGAUUCUCAUUCAAUAUUCUUGCAACACUCUGAUAUUUCAGCAUGACAUUAGAAGGAUGAGGAUGUAUAUUAUCAUGACGUCCAUCAACAUCAACCCUAGUUGUCUGUAUUUCGAAGUUUGACAAAUCAUAUAACUAACCUCUUAUUCUUCAUGUUUGUAUCAAACAUCUCUAUUAAUCAUAUAGUAUUGAUCUAUAUCAUAUAUGAUUAAUAGAGAUGUUGGAUACAAACAUGAAGAAAAAGGGGUUGGUUAUAUGAUUUGUCUAACUUUGAAAUGCAAACAACUAGAGUUGAUGUUGAUGGAAGUCAUGAUAAUAGACAUCCUCAUCCUUCUAAUGUCGUGAUGUAAUUUUUGAGUGUUGCACAGAUAUUGAAUGAGAAUUUAUAUAUUAUCUACAGAGGUAGCUGGAUGCUGAGCAAGCUGGAAAGCGNNNNNNNNNNNNNNNNNNNNNNNNNNNNNNNNNNNNNNNNNNNNNNNNNNNNNNNNNNNNNNNNNNNNNNNNNNNNNNNNNNNNNNNNNNNNNNNNNNNNGGGGAGUGAUGGAGAACCAGUUCAGAGACACCACAGUAGCAACGUCGACCCCCGUCGAAUGAUUUACAUUUUGUUUUGUAAGACAUUGUAGUUAUAUAUGUACAUCAUUAUAGUGAGCUUGAUUCUUUGUAAAUCAAUGGACUUUAGUUUAGUUUUGUAAAUCUUUUAACUUAGUUUGAUUCUUUGUAUUUUAUAAGUUAUACCAGUGUAGUUUAACAUUAUAUGUUGUUAGAAACAUGUAUAUAUAUUGUUUUUAAAAGUAGUUAUGUUGUAUUAUGAGUUGAUUAUAAUAUAUGUUGUUGGAUGGGUUGAUUAUAAUAUAUGUUGUUGGAUGUAAUUAUUGGUUAAUUAUUGUAUGUAUUGUUGGGAUAAAAAAUGUUACAGAUACAAAAAUGGGGUUUAAAAACAUGGAAACUACAAAAAUAAAAAUAUUAUUAAAAAAUGAUAUUUUCGAUAGAAUAAGGUAAAACCGAUGGAAUUUCAGUCGAAAAUAAGACAUUUAAUUUAUUUUAAAAAAGCAUAUGUUUGACGGAAUAUUACUUAUUUCCAACGGAUAUUUCAUCAGACUUAGGACUUACCGAGCUGACACAUGUCUCCAUUUAUCAUCGACGAAAAAUAAGUCCGUCGAAAAUAAUCUAAAUCCGACAAACAAUCCGCCGACUCUAAAUCUAUAGAUCAUAUUUAGUUUCGACGGAAUUGUCGACGGAAUAAAGUUCGACGGCCUUUAUUACGACAUAAUGGUCGACGGAAUAUUCCGUCGGAUAUUAUUUUAUUCUGACGAAAUAGGAUUAUAUCCAACGAAAUAUUCUGUCGGAAUUAAUGCUUUUUCUUGUAGUGAUUCUUUAUUUUAUUAUUCUUAUUAUUUAUGCUCAUCCUUUAUAUUAUUAUUAUUUGUACUAAUUGUCGACGUUGGGAUUUUUUAUUGUCCCUUUUCUGUUCUUAUCUUUUGGUGUUCUCAUGUUAGGUGAGAUUUGUUUGAAAAAAUAAGUUGUGAAAAGGUCCGACAUUUAUAUGUCAACGACUGGACGAUAAGAGUCGCCAGUUGGUAUUUUUAAAUGGUUGCACCAACUCAACCGAGAAAAGGUUUGCACAUUGACCGCGUGAUAUGACACGGCUAAAUUGGUCUGUGAAACCGAGAUUUGUUAGGAUCCGGGGACUUGCUUAUGUGGAGGGAAGGUGUUAGGCACCCUUCGACAUCCGUGUUGCAACGGUGACCACCACUUUUCAAUUAAACUGUUAUAUGAAUAUGUGUGUGUGUGUGUGUGUGGGUCAAUGUGCAGUUAUUUGGAAGUAGUGAUAUGCCUCAUUCGCACCUAUAUACAAAGGGUUUGAAAUUUGUAUAAAAGUUCAAUUUUAACAAGAUAUAUCAAUGAUGUUUUGUAAAAGAGGUUUUUCAAACCCUUAUGCUCAAUAGUAAUUGUGGUCUUUGAUACUUCCAUUUUAUUAAAUAUUCGGCUUGAUUGCUUUUAUUUUCGAGAUGCGAGGCAUCUUCGAGAAAAUAAGGUAUAUAGCAGUGCCGAACUCCUUAUGGGCAUGAUAGCCAUCUAAGGAAAUUCAAACGCCAUAAAUAAUGUACAAGCUGAUUAUAGCCGAAAAUGUUCAUCACGGAAACUGAAUCUAGAUUCAGGAGACUGAAUCUGUGAUCACGUGAUUCCUAGGCUCACAUGAUGUAGCAGUUUGUAUGAAAGUUGUAAGCAAUUAUAUAUAUAUAUAAGUUGUAAAUAUAUAUAUAUAUAUAUAUGGUCAACCACCACGAAGCGAACUUCAUGGGGGAGUGGAAAUGUAAAUAUAUAAAAGCGGUAAAUAUAUAUAGAGAAAAUUGACCACCACGAAGCAACUCCAUAGGGGAUUGGAAAUGUAAAUAAAGCAGUAAAGACGAUCAACCACCACGAAGUAAACUCCAGGCGGGACAAAAUAUAAAUAAAGCAGUAAAAACGAUCAACCGCCACGAAGUAAANNNNNNNNNNNNNNNNNNNNNNNNNNNNNNNNNNNNNNNNNNNNNNNNNNNNNNNNNNNNNNNNNNNNNNNNNNNNNNNNNNNNNNNNNNNNNNNNNNNNUAUAUAUAUAUAUAUAUAUAUAUAUAUAUAUAUAUAUAUAUAUAUAUAUAUAAGCAAUAAACGCUCCAGACGUGAGUCCAGGCCCAAUCGAGGCAUAACUCGAAAAUGUUAGUACAAAUAUAUAUAUAUAUAUAUACAAAAGAAAUAAAAAGCCACGGACCGAAGUUCGGGCAUACGCACACCACACGACUCUCAACUUGAAUAACUAUCUGUGCAGAAUGUGGAGAAAAGGCUUUAAGAAAUGUAAGAAGGCUUACAGUGGACUACCAAAGAAGACUUCAAUACCUUUAAAUGGAUUAACACUCGGUUCCCACCGGUAAAAUAUAGCAAAAUACAAGCUCACAAGUGUUUAAAAUAAGAAAGCACUCAAUUUAUAGUAUGUACAGAGCAAAUUGGACAGGACUUCCUCGCCUUUUCUCUUGCUAAAAUGGCCACCCCAAGCCUUAUAUUUAUAGAGCGGGGAGCCGCAGGUGUACCUAUAGUAGCAGCAGGUGUACCUGUGGCUGCCCAGGGUGCCCCAAGCAAUGUGGGUCCUGUCGUCUCGAAGUACGUGCACUCGGACAAUGCGUUGUUCGCUCGAACCUUCAUAACUUUCGAUCCGGGAGUCCGAUGGAAGUGUUCCAUACCAUUCCGGAAAGCUCUUUUCGAGAGCUAUGCAAUGAAAUAGGAUUUUCUCUUUUUUGAUUCCAGGAAGAUGGGUCCAUGACCAAAAUAGCAUUUCUGGGUCUCCCUUAGGUAGUCCGUUGAGCUAUUUUGCGUAGUUUACACUUGGAAAUUAAGAUAUGGUUCUUGUGGGACAUAUUUUGAUGACAUUUGCAUUAAAAUGAGUUGAUUUGAUUUUAGUUGAAGUUGAGUUGGCAAAAUGACUAUUUUGCCCCUCCCGGGGUUAUCUCCGAUUUUUGCACAGUUGUUGCAGUCUUUUCUCUGGAUUAUCUCUGAGGUUGGCCUACUGUUGACUCUGACUAUCCUCUGGGUUAUCUCUAAGGUUGGAUUGACCUCAUGGGGUUGUCUCUAAGCUUUGAACUUGAUCCCUUGGGGUUAUCUUCGGGUUUGGAAACUGAAUCUCCUGGGGCUAUCUCUGGGGUUGGAAUCGAUGUUGUGGUCCUCCAGGGUUAUCUCUAAAGUGUGAAAAAGAUGUUUUUGUCCUCCUACAUAGUUAGUAACCAGAAAAUGAAAUUUUGAGUGUCUACGAUGCCCCUCUUUAUCAUGUUCAUGCAAUGCAAUGGAAUGAACAUGAUAAAGAUUACUAAACACUUGAAAUAUGACAAAGUAUUUUUAAUGAUGCGAAUCGUAAUGUAAUAAAUGUUAUGAUGAAUGUUAAAAUAUUUUUGCAAAUCGCAGUUCAAAAAUCGCACAUCGCAUUUCGCACUUCGCUCUUCGCUUUCGGCCAAUCGCACUUCGCAACUCGCACAUCGUAUUUCGCAUAUCGCAAAUUGCAAAUUACAAAUCGCAAAUCGCAAAUCACUUUACCUUUACCGGUUAUUACCAAUGCCCAUGCUGGUGUUGACUGCAACGGUUUGCCUUUUUGUCGGUGUUGUCGACGCUUGCUUGAUGAAGAUAAGUUGAGAUAUUUUCUACAUCUCUGAUGGGGAUGAUGUCUUGCAAUCACCGAACCUUCCCAAUGUAUACGCUGGUAGUUUGCAACGGUGCCUACCCUGUAAGACCCCGAAUUUUUUAAUAAUAAAAUGGAAUUUCCUCUAAUUAUUAUUUUGGAAUAUUAUGGUGUGGAUUUGAUAUAAUGUUAAAGUUGUGGGUAAGGUUUACAAAUUAUGCAAAGUAAGCAACUUGAUAUAAAAUAUUUGUUUGGUCAGGGAAUAUCCGUACGAUGGCAUAAUCAUUGGUGGACCCCGCAACGGAAGUAAUAUCAUAGUUAGAAAACGAGAGAAAUAAUAUUGGUCUAAACUUUCUUAUGAAAUUUUUACCUUUUUAUGUCGGGGUUACUAUUCACGGGUUACUAUUCAUGAGUUACUAUUUAUGAGUUACUAUUCACGGGUUACUAUUUAUGGAGUACUAUUCACGGCAAAAUUAGUUUUUUUUUCUAACCAAAUUUUUACCGUUAAACUGUUAAAAUACCCGGUGGUAAAAGAACAGUAAUACGCGUGGUUUCAUAGUAGCACACGGUAUUGAUUAUUGAUGCUUACGUAAGAAGUCACUCAGUUAUACUCAAUUAUUGCUACAGUAAUUGAUGCAUAGUAUCUCAUGUUAUUUGAUUUAAUUAUUGUCACAGUAUCAUCUGCAUAAUAUUUUAUAUUAAUAAAUUAAUAAUUGAGACAAAAAAUUUAUUCAUAUUAUUAUUUACAAUAUUGACGAUGUCUAGAAAGUUCUGUCGAAGAAAGGGGUUUGGUCACCUAAUUGCGCGCCAAUAGGGAGAAAUCCUUAUCGGAAAGCCCCCUCUUUCCUAGGAAUGAUAUGGUUGUUAAAUAUUGUGAGUUAUAAUAUUAAUGAUGAAUAAUUGUUGAAAGAUUAAAAAUGUGUUUAUUAAAGAUAAAUGAUUUAUGGUAAUUAUUUAUUCAAUUUUUGAUAUAAAUAGAGGGGUUUGUUAUGAGGUGGUUGUUAUAAGUUUGGCUUAUUAUUCCAUGAGAAGAUAUGCUAAUUUUUUAUACCGUUGGUUGAUGUUAUAAUCGUAAAUCAAUAUGGAUCGUUGGUUGAAGAUAUAAUAGUAAAUCAAUAUGGACCGCUGGUGAAAAGUUAUAAUAGUAAAUCAAUAUGGAUCACUGGUUUAAAGUAAAUCAAUAUGGACCGUUGCUUUAAGUUUUAAUAGUAAAUCAAUAUGGGCCGUCCGUUUAAAAGUAAAUUAAUCUAGGCCGUUCAUGAAUUAGUUACUAUUUAGUCCUUUUUCCUAUAAAUAGAAGCUCAUUCCGUCAUUAUUUUUUAAGAAUUCACUGAAACUCUAGAGAGAGAAACUAUAGAGAGAAAGAAGAGGAGUAUUCUGCUACUACCCUACUUCAGUAUUCAAUCUUCUACUAAGGUAAGGGGUAUUAUUUAUUUCAUAUUCGCUUACGAUAUUAUUUUUCAUAUUCGUAAGAAUAAUAUUUCGUUUAAUAUUCGUAAGGGAUAUUGCUUCCUUCGUAUUCAUGAAGAGAGUUAUUUUCUUUCAAUACUUGUAAGGGUUGUUAUUCCAUUCUUUAUUAUUCUGUUGGAAUAACCUGUCUACGCGGACUAUCGCAUGCAUAGUGAAAUCCUUUUGUUAUUCCAUUCUUUAUCAUUCUGUUGGAAUAAUCUGUCUACGCGGACUACCGCAUGCAUGGUGAAAUCUUUUUAUUUUUCUAUUCCUUAUUAUUCUGUGGAAAUAACCUAUCUACGCGGACUACCGCAUGCCUGGUGAAUAACCCUUCGUAUUUAAUUAUUAUUAAAUAGUGAAAAUGAUCUGUCUACGCGGACUACCGCAUGAUAGUUUAAAAUCCAUUUGCAGUUUCGUAUAUUGUUCAUUUCAGAUUCCUAAACUCUAAACUUACUACGGUAAGUAUUGCUUCUAUAAUUCCUGAAAUGAUCAGAAAUUCCUUGAGUUUUCUUUUAUGUAUCCAAGUUGUCUGUUAUGGUUCCUAUCUUUGAUUGGAUCUAUGUUUUGAACUUUAUUCUUGAAUUUUGCUCCACAAAUGAUUAUUAUGGAGUAUUCUUGUACUUGAAUAAACUAAAUUAUGAAUCCAUAAUCGUGUCCUUUAUCUCACUGGAUUCGUUCUUUAAAAUAUUUUUUCACCAUCCUCAGUCUUAAAUGGUGAUACUUGAUGAAUAUCUUUGGCUUGUAGUGCAAAGAUGAAUGAUUACCUGAUGAACAUCUUUGGUCCGUAGUGAAAAGAUGGACAGGUGUUGAGAUGAACAUGACCAACUGAUGAUACAAAUGCAUAUCUUUGGCCUGUAGUGCAAAGAUGAAUAUUUGAUUCAAGAUAUAUAUUGAUUGAUGUUACAGGGAUAAAAUAUUGAUGAUGGACUUUUAAAUCAUAAAAGAUAGUAGACUACAUUCUCUACUUAACUCUUCUAAUGAAUUGUUGUUUCCGCUGCAGUUGUUGAUCUAAAACUUGUUAUCUAUUGUAUUCUAUCAGAUUUUUCCCUUUUGAGGACUAAGAAUAAUUUGUUCUAAAUUAUCUUAGUCAUAAUAUUCUUUACUGGGCUAGUUGAGCUCACCCUUUUCCUUUUUGUUCCAUUUUUUUGUCAGGAGGCGAGAAUAUAGCCGGAACUAGUCUUGGUGUGGAGUGAUAUUUCAAGGCAUUUGUUUUAGUAGUCCUCACUAUUUUAUAAAAUAGUGUAUCAAUAAUUGUAAUGAGGACUUAUUUGAGUGUGGAUAUUUUCUAGAAGACAAUAUUUAUAUUUAAACUCACAACAUAUGUGUUGUCGUAUUUUGCACGAUAAUUGUAAUAAGGAAGUUGUUGUUAUUUUCUGUACCGUGUAUUUGGCGACUCAGAAUGGGUUGUGUGGACCUAUUUUGGGGGCGUCACAUACAUUGCUGAUAGUUUGACAACGGGUCCUACCUUGUUGGUACUUGACUACGUUGACAUCGCCAAACUGUUUCAAUUCCCACUCGAACGGUGGUAUACAAAGCUUUCAUCACUGAACUGUCUUGAUGUUAUGAUGUAUUAAUGCCAAUGGUUUCGAAUACCCGAUCUUUCGAUACCUUCGCUUAAGUAAUAUUCAAAGGUUUUCUUAACCAGACUCUGCCUCACCCUUUUUGAGGUGAUUUGGAGUUUCCUUUCGCUGUUGGGUGCUUGUGCCCCAUUUCCUUGAGUGUUUGAUUCGCAACCUGGCUGAACCGAUGACUUGAAUGCUGCUGAGAUCCCUGGAGGGUACAGCUCAUUCUUUCGCUGCCCAACUUUGAACUUUGGUGUAGAGGCCUCAACUUAUAAGGACUUGACGCAGGUUAACAUGUUUGAUGGUGUAGAUUUCAUUCGAUAGACCUUUCGUCGUUGGCCUUCUACUUCUGAGUUAAGAAAUUUUUUGAGAAUUUUGCCCUUCUUUCGUAGGGGCAAGCUAAUGUCGCCAUGAUUUCUUCCAGGAGUUCUCCCCUUUCUUUUAAUGAGAGGCUUGAUCCUGCCUUAAACUCCUUCCCUUUCCUGGAAUCGGAAAAUGCCCUAGUCCUUUCGUAUGUUGUUGCCGGGGAUUCAUAUGAGAAACUCUCUUUGUUGACCAAGUCGCGAGUGAAUAAUAUCCUCACAUGUGGACUAUUCAUUCUAAGAACAGUAUGAUUGGAAAAGACCAAAUAAUCAUACCGAAUUGCUAGUGAGAUGAUGUGAGGGAAGCUCUGAUGAUGAUGUACCAUAUUGAUGGUGCUGACUGGUGUUGAUUGGUGCAUUUUCCUCUUUUGGAUGGUUGAUAAAUGCCCUAGUGUUGAGUUUUUGCUAUUUCUGAGAUUGCCCCAGUCUUGUUGUAAGGGUUCCAAUAUCGGGUUGUCGCCAAUUUUGAAAUUGCUCCAGCCUUGCUUGUUGUCUGGGAUAGUUGCUUUGAUAGAUGGGUUGAUAAGAUGCUGAGAUCACAAGAGGCUUUUACCUCUGUACCAGAUGGUGAACGGGUAGUGUAUUUGAGCUUUGAUGCCCUCAAUCAUUUUUUCUGACUUGUUCGCACAAUCAACUUUGAUGGUUUUCUUCUAAUUUGAUGAAGACUUGUGAUUGAGGGUGUCGGAUCUUUGAAGGUCCUCGCUGCUGGUUGUCUUGGCUUAUCGUUGUUUCUUCCUUUCUGGGAUUUGUUCCAGAUUUGAUGGAAUAACAUUGAAGUAUUGUUGGGUCUUCUUAACAUGGGACGCUGACUUGGAGGGUUGUUCUUUGGUGUCUUGGGAUUAAUGUUUGGGCUUGGAUGUUUCUUUUGAGGGUUUGACCGCACCACUGAUGGCUGCCUAUGUACUCCUGUAUGUGCGGGAGAUCAGGUCUGCGUAGUUCCGAUAAGAUAAAUGGUCUGAGAAGUGUUUGUUUGGGUUUUUUGGGUUUUUGUUUGGUUUGACCGCACCAUAAAUGGCUACCUACGAACUCCCAUUGAUGAGGAAAGAUCAGGUCUUUCGUAGUUCAGUCCUAAUGAGCUGAAACCUAACUGAUUUGAUUUUUGAUUUUUGAUUUUUUUUUUCUUUUUUUUCUUUUCUUUUUCUUUUCUUUUCUUUUUGUUUUUGUUUUUCUUUUUGUUUUUGUUUUUAUUUCUUUUUCAAUAUUUACAUGCAUGGAAAAUAAAAGGCAUACUGCGAAGAAAGUGAUACCGUCCCAACAUCUCUUGGAACUCACAACUCUAUCCUCUGGAUCUACACCUUCUUGGCUAGCUAAGGUUUGAUAGUCCAAUUGUCAGUGGUUAUGUUGCCUUCAAGGCUCGCGAUAGAGGUUACCUCUUGAUUCUAAAUAUCUUCACUUAUAGCCAUAACUUGAUCGCUUCCUGAUUCAAUACAUUCCUCAAGGACACUUAAACUGGACCCAUCGCAAAAAGGUAUGAACUCAUGAUUCUUUGAUGGGUUAGUUUCCCCGAUAACCUCACCACCUUUUCCUUCACCUUUUUCUUGGGCUUUGAGAGGAUUCGAUCAUAAAAUCUCCCUCGAACUGUUGUCGCAUUUCUUGCAAGGAACUUUCCUUUUUGGCUUUUUCUUCCUUGGAAAGGAUUACUAUUUCCUCCGCAUAAUCCAAGGUUAUAAAAUCAAGAACGUGGUUGCUAUCUUUGGACCAUAGGAUGUUUGAUGUUGGUGGAGGAAUCUCCCUUGGGGUUUCCCUUGUCUCCUCUGUCAUUUCCUGUGUUAGGAUCAGUCCAUCUUGUGUUCUGCCAAGAUUGGUGCUCAUAGCCUUCACCUCCUUUGAACUGCAUGUCUCGAGUGGACAUCUUAAGCUUUUUAUUUCCUCUUCGUUUUUUCUGUUUAUGAUGAAUUCUAUCUUCAGCUCUUUCUUUUCAAUGAGAUCCUAAAUUUUAUGUCGCAAAGACCAGCAUUCCUCAGUCGCAUGUCCAAGUGAGUUAGAAUGAUAGAGACACUUCUUGGUUGAAUCAUAACUCUUUAUCUUGGGAUUUAUAGGAGGCAGCAAAUCAGUAAUCCUUCUUUCGCUUAUUAGAAAGUGUAGAAUUUCUUCAUUUGAUUUGUUCAGAGGGGUGAAUUUUUGAACUCGUGUGGAGGUUGUUUGAUCUUUCUUAUUUGAGAAUUCGCAUUCCCCCGAGCAAUAUUUCUGUUGGUGAGAUCUUCUAGCAAUUUUAUCAUCCCCCUUUUCCUUUCCUUUCAACCUGCUUUGAUCUUCCUCAUUUAGCUGGCUCAUCCUGGAGAGAUAUGGGUUUGCAUUAUGGUUAACCUCUUUUUUCUAUUGGCUUUUUGAUAGUUGAGUGAAAAACUGCCUUGUUUCCUGAUGUUGGCGCACUAUCAACUUAGCUAGAAGAUUUAUUUGAUUCUGAAUCAUCUCUAAUUUUUGCAUUAUUAUCAUACCCUCCUCCGAGUUUUUCCACUCUAGGACAUUUGUUCGGUGCCUUUGGGGGUAUUUCUCAAUCCUUCAUAUAUACUUACGAUUUGGAUACAUUUCAUCGCUUCCUGACCCGAUCAUGUUUACUUCCUCUGUAUCAUGCUGCAACGGAAGGUUGGUGUUGACAUUUUGUUGAUCAGGUUGUUGAACCACAAUACUGCCACUUUCGAUCAGAUUUUGAAUCUUAUGCUUUAAGGACCAACAAUCUUGUGUAUCGUGUCUUGGAGACCAUGAAUGGUAAGCACAUCUCUGGCUUGGAUUGUAUCUUUUGCUCCUUGGUUCCAAAGGUGGAGCUAGUUCAGUAAUUUUCUUGUGAUCCAUUAAUAUCGCCAAUACAUUUUCAAGGGAAUCGCCCAGUGGAGUGAAUAGCCGAUUUUCCGUUCUUUCGAAUUUUCUCCUUCUGUCUUGACAUUGGUUGAAUGCAGCAUGUUGUUGAAAUGGCAGAUUGUCCUGCUUUUUCCAAAUGAGGGGACUGUAGGUUGGUCUCCUAGCUUGCCCCUGUACAACAAGGGAUAUAUCUUCAUUGCCUUUAUCGAUUACCCCCUUGGGAUCGCUCCCAUACUUUCCAGUCUGUAUAUGCUUGGUGACUGCUUCCCAGGCAGUGAAGUCUUUAAUCUUGCCUGUCUUUAGACCCAUCUUUGCCAUUUUGCCGUGUUUGAUCAUUUUUUAGAAUAGCGUUCCUAUGCCUGCUAGGAUCCUCUCAUAGUAAGGAGCCUCUUGGAUAUCAAUAAACGUCAUUACCAUCUCAGUUUAUGUCAUUGAUGGAAUGACUUGCGCUGCUAGAUGUCUCCACCUUUGGGCAUAUUCUCGGAAAGAAUCAGUACUUUGCUUUUUGACUUUAGUCACUUGGAAUCGAUCCGGUGCCAUUUGUGAUUGAAAACUGUACUGAUUUAGAAAGGCGUGGGCCAAUUCUUCCCAGUUGUGGAUUUUGGCAUUGUUAAGUUAGGCAUACCAGGCUUUAGCCUCUCCAAUGAGACUCUUUUGAAAAAGUUGCAUUCUGAGGCUUUCAUCUUCAGCAUAAGACCCCAUUUCACCAAUGUACACUUUUAGGUGUGUAUAGGGAUCGCCUGCCCCAUUGUAUUUUUCAAACUCUGGGAUUUUGAAUUUGCCAGGAUAUCGAGCCCCUGGGAAUAUGCAGAGAUCUGAAUAGGUGAUACUACCAUAGUUUCCAGUCCCUUUGAUUGACCGGAUGGCUUUCUCCAUUUGUUGGACUUGCUUUCUUAUAUCCCCAGCUUCUCGAUCAUCCCAGAGUUUUGUGAUUUUAGGGUUUUUGUUGGUUCCUUUAUUGGAAUGAGGCUCUGGUAUCUGGGUUUCCAUCUUUUUGCCAAUACCCUGACUGCCCCCUGGUGUGAAUGACUCUGGUUGAGUAGGCAUUGUCUGGCCCUGAGUGUUUUUACUUUGUUCUUUUAGAAAGACAGCCAAUUCUGCUAUCUGAUUCCUUAAUCCUUCAAACUCCUCUCGAGAGACAGGAGUAGGAUUAGGUGGAGCACUUGUAGUCAUGUCUGACUGUGGACUUAAUUCCUUUCUGGACUUUGAACGGGAAACGUGACCAAUUGCUUCCCUAAUAAAAACUUAUAUAGUUUAGUCUUAGGGAAUGUAUAAAUGUAGCAUGCUAUAUGAUGUGUCCAUUUUAGGAGUAUUAUCCUACAAAAUGGAUGUUAGCUGUUUGUAAGAUAGCAUGUCAUGUUUCAAUAUAAAAAGGAAUGCAUGUACACAUAUUCCUUCAUAUUUUCCAUUACAAUGGAAUGAAAUUACAAGUAAUUGAAUUUACAAGUAAUUGAAAUGGGAAAGUAUGAAUAAACUUCCCUCCGCAUUUGGUUUAUCAGAGGCUGACCUAUCCUAGGUUACUCUCAUGGUUUUUUGGCAUGAAGGUCCCCAGAUCAUCGCAAUUUACUUGACAGGAAGUUAAUCCGGUCUUUCAACUGGAGCGAAUCUGGGUGGUGCCUUUCCAGCCUCAUUAGAAUUAGUCUUCCUACAAGUCCAGUAAUCAAACACUGAUAGGAUAUCCUCCUGAUGGAGGGACCGCACAACAUACAUUCACAUACAACGUGUCUCACCGUUAUGGAAAUGAUGAUAUGUGCGAAGAACUUCAAUAUCACAAAUAGAUACAGUGCGAAGCACUAAGUGCAGUAAGUAAAUGCAUUCAUACACAUUUGUAUAAAUGUAAAUACAGCAUCCACACACAAGCAGAUAAUAGUUUAAAAGUUUGUAAUAGCUGCUUAAGCCCUCUUACCGGAUAUCCCCAGCAGAGUCGCCACCUGUCAACGUCGGGAUUUUUUAUUAUCCCUUUUCUGUUCUUGCUUUUUGGUGUUCUCAUGUUAGGUGGGAUUUGUUUGAAAAAAUAAUUUGUGAAAAGGUCUGACAUUUACAUGUCGACGAUUGGACUGUAAAAGUCGUCAGUUGGUAUUUUUAAUUGGUUGCACCAACUCAACCAAAAAAAGGUUUGCACAUUGACCGCGUGAUGUAACACUGCUAAAUUGGUCUGUGAAACCGAGAUUCGUUAGGAUCCGGGGACUUGCUUAUGCAGAGGGAAGGUGUUAGGCAGCCCCGACAUCCGUGUUGCCACGGUGACCACCACUUUUUAAUUAAACUGUUAUAUGAAUGUGUGUGUGUGUGUGUGUGGGUCAAUGUACAGUUAUUUAGAAGUAGUGUUAUGCCUCGUUCGCACCUAUAUACAAAGGGUUUGAAAUUUGUAUAAAAGUUCAAUUUUAAUAAGAUAUAGCAAUGAUGUUUUGUAAAAGAGGUUUUUCAAACCCUUAUGCUCAAUAGUAAUUGAGGUCUUUGAUACUUUCAUUUUAUUAAAUGUUCGGCUUGAUUGCUUUUAUUUUUGAGAUGCGAGACAUCUUCGAGAAAAUAAGGUAUAUAGCAGUGCCGAACUCCUUAUGGGCAUGAUAGCCAUCUAAGGAAAUUCAAACACUAUAAAUAAUGUACAAGCUGAUUACAGCCGAAAAUGUCCAUCACGGGAACCAAAUCUAGAUUCAGGAGACUGAAUCUGUGAUCACAUGAUUCCUAGGCUCACAUGGUGUAACAGNNNNNNNNNNNNNNNNNNNNNNNNNNNNNNNNNNNNNNNNNNNNNNNNNNNNNNNNNNNNNNNNNNNNNNNNNNNNNNNNNNNNNNNNNNNNNNNNNNNNCAUGGGGGAUUAGAAAUGUAAAUAAAGUAGUAAAGAUGAUCAACCGCCACGAAGUAAACUCCAGGCGGGACGAAAUCUAAAUAAAGAAGUAAAAACGAUCAACCGCCACGAAUUAAACUCUAGGCGGGAUGAAAUAUAAAGAAAGUAGUUAAAGGCCACGAAAUAAACUCUAGGUCAGAUAGAAAUGUAAAUAUAUAUAUAUAUAUAAGCGGUAAACGCACCGGAUAUUAUAUCCAGGCUCAAUCAAACAGAGUUUGAUGGUAAUAAUAUAUAUAUAUAUAAGUAUUUAUAUAUAUAUAUAAGUAGUAAACGCUCCGGAUAUAACAUCCAAGCUCAUCGAACAGAGUUCGACAAUAGUUUAUAUAUAUAAAAGCAAUAAAUGCUCCGGAUGUGAAUCCAGGCUCAUCGAACAAAGUUCGACAACAGUUUAUAUAUAAGCAUAUAUAUAUAAAAGUAAUAAACGCUCCGGAUGUAAAUCCAGGCUCAUCAAACAGAGUUCGACAAUAGUUUAUAUAUAAGUGUGUGUGUGUGUGUGUGUGUGUGUAUAUAUAUAUAUAUAUAAGCAAUAAACGCUCCGGACGUAAGUCCAGGCUCAAUCAAGGCAUAAAUCGAUAAUAUUAGUACAUAUAUAUAUAUAUAUAUAUAUAUAUAUAUAUACAAAAGAAAUAAAAAUCCACGGACCGAAGUUUGGGCAUACGCACACCACAUGACUCUUAACUUGAAUAACUGUGUGUGUAGAAUGUGGAGAAAAGGCUUUAAGAAAUGUAAGAAGGCUUAUAGUGGACUGCCAAAGAAGACUUCAAUAGCUUUAAAUGGAUGAACACUCUGUUCCCACUGGUAAAAUAUAGCAAAAUACAAGCUCACAAGUGUUUAAAAUGAGAAAGCAAUCAAUUUAUAGUGUGUACAGAGCAAAUUGGACGGAGCUUCCUCGCCUUUUCUCUUGCUAAAAUGGCCACCCCAAGCCCUCUAUUUAUAGAGGAGGGAGCCACAGGUGUACCUGCGGCAGCAGCAAGUGUACCUGCGGCAGCAGCAGGUGUACCUGCAGCAGCCAGGGAUUCCCCGGGCAAUAUGGGUCUCGCCGUCUCGAAGUACGUGCACUCAAACAACGCGUUGUUCGCUCGAACCUUUAUAACUUUCGAUCCGGGAGUCCGAUGAAAGUGUGCCAUAUCAUCCCGGAAAGCUCUUUCCGAGAGAUAUGCAAUGACAUAUAAUUUUCCCUUUUUUGAUUCUAGGAAGAUAGGUCCAUGACCGAAAUAGCAUUUUCGGGUCUCCGUUAGGUAGUCCGUUGAGCUGUUUUGCGUAGUUUGCGUUCGGAAGUUAAGAUAUGGUUCUUGUGGGACAUAUUUUGAUGAUAGUUUCAUUGAAAUGAAUUGAUUGGAUUUGAGUUGAAGUUAAAUUGGCAAAAUGACCAUUUUGCCCCUCCCGGGGUUAUCUCUGGUUUUCGCACAGUUGUAGCAGUCUUUUCUCUGGGUUAUCUCUAAGGUUGGCCUGCUGUUGACUCUGACUGUCCUCAAGGUUAUCUCUAAGGUUGGCUUGACCUCUUGGGGUUGUCUCCAGGCGUUGAACUUGAUCCCCCGGGAUUAUCUCCGGGGUUUGGAAACUGAAUCUCUCGGGGCUAUCUUCGGGGUUGGAAUUGAUGUUGUGGUCCUCCAGGGUUAUCUCUGGAGUGUGAAAAAUAUGUUUUUGUCCUCCUGCAUAGUUAGUAACAAGAAAACAAAAUUUUGAGUGUCAACACUAAUCAUCAGGAUUGAAGUAGUUGUGAGUGUCUUUGGUCUGCAAAGGCAAUAAAAUUGUUGGGUGUUUUUAGCAUGUGUAAAAAUGACACCUGAUGAAAGUUCUUUUUGGUCUGAGUACAAAGAGAAACUGUUGUUUGGUAUUAUCAUGUCAUGACCAUUGGUGUUACCGAUGAUGGAGGCCAAAUGAUGAAUUUUAAUUUGGAGAAAAUAUUAGAUAUUAUUGUCUAUUUGACUUUGUUAAUGAACUGCUUAUUCCACUAUAAUUAUUCAUUAAAAAAAUUAUGAUGUUUAUUAUUUUCUAAACCUUUGAUUAAAUCACUGUUAAAUGCUAAAGAUAAUUUUAUUUUUUCAUUAUCUUAGACUCUUAGUCAUGAUAUCAUUUACUGGGUUAUUUGUGCUCACUCUUUUAUAUUAUAAUUCUUUUCAUAAAAUGAGAAUAUAAUUAGGGCUAGCGGGAAAACAUGGAAAUGGAAUGAUGAUCUGAGUAGUGGUUGUAAUAAUUCUCACCAAAUUGUAAAAUAAUGUGCUAAUAAUUAUUGUGAGUACUUAAUGUGUAUGUGUGUGUUCUACCGUGCAAUGCAUAGUACUGUAAUAAUAUUAAUUAUGUGAAUUUUAUUAUGUGUUUUGUAUUUUGACACUUCAAAUUGAGUUGUGUAAACCCAAAUUUUAGAGGGUCACAUUAGAACAGUUCGUACUUUGCAUGGGUGCUAAACUAGGAAUAUAUAAAUGUAAUAAGAGAGAGUUUCUCCUCACAAAAUAAAGUUUUCUCAUAGACUAAUAUUUUAAAACUUUUUUUUACCAAUACAAAAUAAUAAUAAUAAUAAUAAUAAUAAUAAUAAUAAUUAAACAUACAUAAAUAUUGUGACGCCCCCAAAAUAGGUAUACAUCACCCAUUUUGAGUCAUCAAUAACAUGGUACAGAAAUAACUACAACUUUAUUAAUACAACAUAAAAACAAUGAGUUUAAAAACAAAUAUUGUCUUCUAGACAAUAUCAACACUCAAAUAAGUCCUCAUUACAAUUAUUGAUACAUUAUUUUACAAAAAUGGUGAGGACUACUAAAACAACUCUCUAGAACCAUCAUUCCACACCCCGACUAGAACUCGCUACAUUCUCGCCUCCUGAGAAGAAAAAUAGAACAAAAAGGAAAAGGGUGAGCUCAACUAGCCCAGUAAAGAAUAUUAUGACUAAGAUAAUAUAGAACAAAUUAUCAUUAGUCUUCAACAGGAAAAAAAUCUGAUAAAAUACAAUAGACAACAAGUUCAGAUCAAUAUUUGCAGCGGAAAUAAUAAUUCAUAGAUGAGUUACAUAGAGAAUGAAAUCUACUAUAAUCUAUGAAUUUAAAAGUCCAUCAUCAAUAUUUUAUCCCUGUAACAUCAAUCAAUAUACAUCUUGAAUCAAAUAUUCAUCUUUGCACUACAGGCUAAAGAUAUUCAGUAAUAUCAUCAUUUAGGACUGAGGAUGAUGAAAAAUAUUUUAAAGAAUAUGAAUCCAGUGAAACAAAAAUACAAAUAUUAAGGAUUCGUACUUUAAACAAUCCGAGUUCAAAAAUACUUUAUAAAUAAUCAUAAUGGAGUAAAAUUCAAGAAUGAUCAAAACAUGGAUACAAUCAAAGCUAGUAUCCAUAAUAGAUAUUUUGGACAAAAAAUAAAAAUUUUAAUUUUUCUAUGAAUAGUGUCGUAUUCGUGAAUAGUACCGUAUACGUGAAUAGUAACCCAGACACUAAAAGACAAGAAUUUCACAAGAAAAAUACUAUCAAUAUUCCGGCAUAAUGAUAUUGAAAGAAAUAAUAUCAUUUUUUUAAAAAAAUAACAUCCUUUACCUCGAAAAGAACAGUACUUCUAGCUGGAAUAUCAGAUAUAACGCUGAAGGAACUUGCACCGUAUAGUAACACGCUCGAUAAUAUAGAGAGAGAAAACUUCAAUUUUUGGUGUGAUUUUUAAUUCUAACCUAAGCACCCUAUUUAUAGGAAAAUGCUUAGAACACCAAAGCAGAAAAUUUAAUAAAAUAAUAAUAUAAAUAUAAUUUUUUCCUACGCCAACCUUUANNNNNNNNNNNNNNNNNNNNNNNNNNNNNNNNNNNNNNNNNNNNNNNNNNNNNNNNNNNNNNNNNNNNNNNNNNNNNNNNNNNNNNNNNNNNNNNNNNNNAGAUUAUUCUAAAAGAAAGCAAAUAAACAACUAAAAAUUGAUGGAAUUCAGAUAAAUAAGGAUUAAGACUCCAAUAUCCCCAAUUAUGAACUAUAAAUUAAUUAUCCAAUUAUCCUAAUUAUUACGUCUAUUGAAUUGUUAACAGGAAUUCUCAAAUGCCAAAAGCUCUUUCUCAAGUGAUCAUUUGCCUUCUAUUUAACCUAGAUUAAUUUUGCUAUAUCUCUAUACAAAACAAUUGAAUUAAACUCGUUACAACCCCAAUUCCUUAUGUGUUACAUGCGCCAAAUAGAUAUUCUCAUUCUAUUCACAAACCUAAUUAUUCACUGUGCAAAUAACUAAGUCACAUGAUAUCAUGCUCAGUUCUAACCCUAGAAUUCCUUUCUCAAUUCCUUCUAGAGUAACAAGGUAAUUACUGAUCAGAUAAUUAAUCAAUAAGCAUAAGGCAAGAUAAAGAACUCACUUUGACAAAAAUAAUUGGAAUAAAUCAAAUAACUAAUUUAUAGCCAUAAAAGGUUCAAUUGAAAUCUUAAUAAAAGAAUUAGUUCAUAAUUAAUGAAUUAAAACCAAGAAUCCACAAUUGAAUAAACAUUAACAGAUAAAAGUAUGAUAAGAGAAGAGAAUAGAAUAUGUUGUCAGCAAAUCUGAUGCUCCCCUCUUGCUCUUGCUCUUGAUCUUCAAUGUUCUUCAAUUUGCUUCAAUCUCCAAUGGCUAAUUAAGAACUAGGGUUAUGUUCUAAUCUAAUGGAGUGUUUAAUCUAGUCUAAUCUAUGUAAUCUCCCUCUAUUUUAUGCCUUAUAUCAUGUAUUUGUAGGUUACAAGUCCAAUUUUUAGUUUAGGAACAAACCCAAUCCAAUUUGGAGUAAAAAAGGUAUCAAAAUUCGUUCAAAAACGCGUCCAAGCCAUCACCAAGCCCUUCCCCAGCGCCCCAGCGCUGGGCUUGACGCUCAAAACCUGCUCCCCAGCGCCCCUGCGCUAGGCAUAGACCUAUUUUGGGUGCCCCGGCGCUGACCUCAAGUUUUGACAUUUUCUACUCCGAUGUCCUUUGGGAAAAUGGUCAUAACUUCUUCGUUCGAACUCCGAUUUCGAUGAUUCAAGAUUAUCCGAAAAGAGAAAAAGUAUAUCUACAACUUUCAUUCUUUGAGUUUUUUGAAAUAAGGUCCGGAGCAAUACUCAAAUUGGCUCUGAAGUGACUGUUGUGUAAAUGGCAAGCCGAAAAUGCGAAUCUAGCCACCCCAAACGUCGAUCCAAGUAACUUUUGUCCCAAUUCCUACAAAACAACGUAAAACAUGCAUGAAUAGACACAAACACUUAAAAUCAACCAAAAGAUUAAGCUCAAACGCACUCAAUUAUGUGUAUAAAACUCACUCAUCAAAUACCCCCAAACUUAAACAUUUGCUUGUCCUCAAGCAAAAACACAAAAGAACUAAAAAUAAACAAACUAACUCAACUACAUGAAUUCAUAUGCAUGAUCUACUUCGUAAUAUACCUACGAACCCAGUAAUAAAUCAGUAUGAUUUAUAGCAACAGGCCUCAAAGAUACCAAUGAUACUCAAACAAUAUAUCCAAUCAAGUCAAAGUCCAUAACUCUAACCAAAUAGUCAAUCCAAACAUGUUAUCACCCAUGUUGUGUAUGUGUGCUUGUUAACCGUUCUAACCAACCACAGUUCAAGAUAAUCACAUAACAAACUUCUUAGAAGGAAAAUUUCAGUUCCAAUUCAAUUACUUUUGUGAACAUGACAACUCCGGUUAAAAUUAAGCAAUUACCAAAGUCUUAAGGUAUUAUACUCUUAUUCAAUCACGAGGGCAUUUUUGCACUUUCUCGUGUUUUAUUCAUUUUUUUUUCUCAUGGCUGUGCAAUGUCUUAUUCCCUUAGGCUUUUCAGUGCUACCUUAACGAACUUUCGACCAACGACUCCCAAGCCAUUAAGACCUUAGGGCGCUAGGUGUAAAGACAAUCCCCUCGGGCUUACUUACUCAAGUAACAAAGGCCACAAAACUAGACAAGCAUGCCACGGUGUUUAUUCUCUUUUUCUUUUUCAUCAUCUCUUUUCUUUUCUUUUUUCUUCUUUUUUUCGUUUUUCAUUUUUUUUUUAAUAUAUAUCCCAUAGAUUCCCUCAAACUCAAGCUUUUGCGUCAUUCUAACCUCUACUACCAGUUCACUAAUUUCCUUCAAUUUUAACAAAGAUUUUCCCUCAGAAACAAAUUAUGAAACCCUUGAACCAAGUGGAUUUAAAUAGUUAAACUUUAAGUGCUAACCGGUUACAUAAGUUUAAGACAGGCUAUGUAGCAUCCCCGAAUCCGGGUCCCAAAUCGCCGCGGAUCCGGUNNNNNNNNNNNNNNNNNNNNNNNNNNNNNNNNNNNNNNNNNNNNNNNNNNNNNNNNNNNNNNNNNNNNNNNNNNNNNNNNNNNNNNNNNNNNNNNNNNNNGCGAAAGGCUUCUUCACUAGUGACUGAUCAGCACAUGGUACUACAAUUUGACUGCUUUUGAUUAUACGGUACAAACCUGUCUGUUCUCCGCUCUAUCUUACCUGGAAAGUGGGAAAUAAACUCCCCUGUUGGUUAAACUCGUAUGCCAUCUUUGCUUCUUUUUCAAAUCCUCCUCUCUUAGUCUUGGCUCUGCCUCGUACUACCUUCACUAGAUAGAGUUGGAGCUUUCUUUUGAGUUGCAUCUAGUUCAGUAGGUGCCCUGAUAGUCGUGAAAGUCAAGCUACUUCCUUCUCUUCGGAGCUGCAAAGUCGCAGUGAAAGCAGUUUUCCGUUGGAUAGGAAAGAAAACUUGGAAGAGUUCCCUUUCAGUGGAUUUCCAAACCUAUCUUUCAGAAUAGAGUAUAUACUCUAUGAAUAUUCAUAAAGGGCUUUAGCCCCGCGAAACAGGGUUCCAAACAGGGGGAAAGCCUCUACUAAGACUAAUACCACAUACCUAAUACCCUAAUACUAAGGUUUUCACCACUACUUUUGCAGUUGACCCGGAGAAAGGAGACUCUCAAAACGAAAGCUAAGACAGGCAUCUCACACACUAAGCCAAAAAGGCUCUGAGACUGCUACUUAAGGGCCUUCUCCUGGGCAUUCUCUUAAGCUUAAAAGCUAAUUCACCGCUUAGCCCCCGAACUUCUUAACUGGCCUAAAAAGGCCUGGAAAUGGCCAUAGGAAGAACACAUUCAUUUGGCAGUGGGGCGGAGAAGAGAGAUCUUUUCUCUUAUUGAUUUAGGGUAAAUCCCUUGUUUAAGGCCUCGAGACUGAGUACGGAAAUGCGCCAGGGCGGGCGUGAGAGAAAGAGUGAUGAUAAGGACAUCUAGUCUAAGUGCUUAUGCUUCUGCCAAAAGGUCCAUACCCUUGAAUCUAAUCUUUCUCGAUCGAAGGCUUUAGCAUUCCAAUCGAAGAAGCGAUGGCACCUCCGCUUGACCGAACAAGUCAAGUCCGUUACUCACAGUAUCUUCAUUGACUGGAAUCGCUUUUUACGCUUGCCAAAUCAUUGAAUUUGAGUCGUUUUCUUAGUCCUUAGGGCAAAGUUUAGAUAGAGACUAAGUGAGUACUUCUUUGAGAAGAGCAGUGGUUUAUUUAAAAACAAAUCUUUCACGACAACCUCUUAUGCGAUAUCGGUUAUCGCAAUAUCCGCUGCAGCCUCUCUGUCGCAUAAUCGGCUGUUACCCCAAAAGGAAAAGAAUCCAGAAAAGAGAGAUAGGAAAGAAUCAAAAAGCUUGGAAGGAUGUAAGGCUAGCACCGAAUCGAAGGCAGGUAUAAGGAAAGGAAUCCAAUUGGUCAAACCCACAGGAAGACGAAGACAAAAGCACUCGAUCGACUCGCUAUAGGGAAGUAGCAAGGAUCCUAUAAAUUACUUCUACGCUGGCAGGAACCAUCUUCAAUCAUCUGGCCCGACAUCAAGAAUUGAACUAUCUGGAAAAAAGGAUUACCUUUGCCCUAGGCUAUUGACCUUUUUUACCUUUGGAUGAUGGAUUGCAAAGGAGCAGAGAUUCGUUAGAGCGCGAAGAGAGAGCGAAGAAGCUAACGGAUUAAGACGGAAUAAGAAAUGAAUUAACAAACAAUAUCAUGAAAUUCAAUUGCGCAUUUGAGAGCAUCUAUCUCAUACUUGUCGGCCUGGCGCGGAUGGCGCGUUUAAGCGAAAGAGAAAGAAGGUCAACUUGGGAAAUCCCUUCGGUAUCGGCAUCGGUAGGAUUCACAGCUGAUUAAAGACCAGCUCCUUUCCAUCCGGGCGUUGAUCCAGCUAACGAGCAACUGGUUCGUCUUUACCCACUUAGUGUACUUAGGAUUUGAGGAGUUCUUUUCAUCGUCUGUGAAUUGGUUGGGCUGUGGGCGAGGGAGAGGGGUGAUCGAGAAUAGAAGCUAGCAGCCGAUCAAUCCAACAGAGGCAAAAACUGGCUCUUUCGAAGGAGGUGGUUAUAGAAAGAGAUCAGAGUAGAGGUAGGUUGAUGGUGUAGUUUCACUCUCAAAAGGGCGGCCGUUAACGCUUGAUUAAGCCUUAGGCUAUUCGAUCGAUAUCUCCUUAAUAGAAAGAAGUUCCUGGUGCAGGUGAGGAAUAAAAAGUGGUUGGUUUGCGGAGGAAAAAGAAUCAUUCGAUUAGGCAAACCUGAAGCGAGAGAGAGCUUCUCGGUAGAGGUAGUAAAGCUAAGAGCUAGAAAGUAGCAAACCGUAAAAGCUAGCCAAAAGGCAUAUGAGGGAGGGGGUUUGCUCGGCUCCGCUCGGAGAGGGAAGGAAUCCAUUCAAUUUCCAAAAGCCAAGUAAGGAGGGCCUAGAGCAACAAACUCUCCACCAGAUGGUUCGACAACUGAUGGACGACCGGCCUACAUACGAGUCAAAAACGGAUAAUGAAGCAAGAGAGGAUUUCUUUUAUAACAUCUGAUUCUCAAGUUGAUGAUUCACCAACAGAUAUCCUGAUGAAACAUCAGAUAUGGGGUAUAUGCUACUGGAGAGUAAGCAAUAGCUCGAGCUAUCGCUUAGGAAUUUGUGCUUGCCUUUGUCGGCCCUCCGGGGAUGGGAAGGGAGUUUUUGGAAGACGGAAUCUUACUUAUGUAAGGUGGCGCGCUGUCUGUCUCGAAAAUUGGCUAGUGCACGCAAAGAGCGCGUUGUCGCGCUAAGACGGGCUGGCUGGGAAUCCGUCUGAAGCCUAUAGUCUCACAGGGAACUGACUGGGUGUGCCAUACACAAUUUCCCUUCCGUUCUUUCUCUAAGAUUUUAAGGCCCUUCGCUUCGCCGAGCUGACCACCCCUCGUUUGUUCAUAGCUGCUCCAGGUCGGUGGAGUGUGAAUUCUUUAGUUCUUUUAGUUCUUGGGUUGCGCAAAAGCGUACUCAGCGUCCAUCUGGAGUGAAUUGUUCUGAUAGCGGAAAGGCUGCUGAGUGCGUUGGAUCUGAGGAAUUGCAUAGAUAUAGUUCCCGCCCGUCAGGACCCUGCUGACCUAGCGUUAGAGUAGAGCGAAGCUCUUUGUUCUUGGAAGUAGAAAAGAUAUCGGCUAGUACGAAGCGCAAGUAAGCUUCUAUUCUAUGUGAGUAAAGGGUGCCCUCUCUCUCUAUAAAGAAUGACCAUUAGGAGAGCAGGCAAAGCCCACCGUAUCUUCCUAUUUUUUUCCGAAAGGCUAAGAGCGGACUCUUCCUUCAAAGCGGAAAACACAUUGAAAAGACUAGCCUACGGUAAUACCGACUCUCCGGGUAAAAAACUAGAGCUAUUCAAAGCCGAGACUCUUCCUAGACUAGGGCCAAGGUAAAGGCAAAAAACGGAAGGGAGCGAAGACAAACUGACGACUGACUUGUGGUAUUCUCUCAGGGAGCGAAGCCUCGAUACCUACAGUUUAGAUGAGAUUAGAGUCGGUUCAGGAAAACCCGGAGCUGUUGGUUCGAUAGAAACUGGAGCUGUCAGCUUAUGGCGCUUCAAAAGUGGAAUCCGCGUCUUUUUCUCUUUGUUUACGGAGGGAUUAGUGGAGUGUGCUUAGGUCUUGGUCUAGAGUGCUUCCUUUCGCGCCUUGGUUAGCCGGAAGUAGAAAUGCCGGGAGUGUAGGGAAGGGUCCCUCGGGUGAGAUGGCUAACCGUGUCCUUACCUGAUAUGGUUGACUACCCAGGGCGUUGGUUGGCGCACUUGGCUGCUUCUCCCUUUGCCUGCCUUUCUUUCGGCGGAUGAAACAACGGCUUCAGAUUCGGCUUGAGAAUCGGUAUCGUUCCCUGCCUCUGCUUCCCUUGCUUGCUUGUCGGGCAUAUAGAGGUAGAGGAAGAAAAAUUUCCUUUUUCAAUCUCAAGCAUUUUUUGACGGAAUCUUACUUUUUUGAAGAAAUCGAUGAAAAAUUAGCUCAAAAGGCGGACAUAAAGGUGAAUAAAAAGGUAUUCGAUUAGUCUGCUAGCGGUAAGGCGAAAAAAGAAGGGAAGGUGCUUCUUUAACAACAAUUAUCCGAUCAAUAGCCACACCCACGCCACGCACAGAGAAGGAAGAAGGAGUUGUGCCAUCUCUAUCAGCUAGUGUUUUUGCCUUUUUUCCUGUUAUCGGGCUUACCGCUGUUAGAAAUCGAUCUAGACUAGAUGCCAAUAAGAGAACAGGACAAAGAACUGAACUUCGACGCUGGGUAAGGCAAGUGCCAUGAGAAUGAAAUAAGUGCCACGAACAACUGGGGCAUAAAAGGAGCAGCUGCUAGCCAUAAGACUUGAAUCCCAACUGUGAGGGAGGUUUGGAUAGAUAUUAAACUAGGGCUUGCACAGAAUCGGACAAGGGACUGACAUUUCUUAUCUAGAUGCCUAAAACAGAAGCAGAUAAGAUAGCGGAUUAGGCCGAAAAGGAGGAAGCGGGGAUGGCACUGGCUCUUUCUAUCUUAAGGCGGUAAGGCGCAGUCGAAACUUGAAGCGUGUGUAACCCGUUCUAAUUCUAAGAGUCAGGGGCUUAGCGCUUUGAUGGUUGACUGCCUCCGCUCGGGGCACCUAUCUUUCUUUAUAUGCCCAUUUUGCAAGAAGAAGGGCUUUCCUUAUUGAAAAGAUUCAAAAUUCUAUUCCAGAUAGGGGCAACCCUUCAAGCCUUCGCUCUUAAACAUUCUUCCAUAACACUUAUUCGCGCCUAUUCUAUCUCGAACAGAGAACGAGGAAGGCCCUUAGGGGAAUGAAAUUCCUCCUCUUAUAGCGGCUUCCUAUUAGUCUAAGUAUGACUCUUUGAGAUCUAGACCAGGCAAAGCCCUUUCCAUUCUUGUAGCAGGGCGCAGUCCUAAUUGAUUGUUUCAUCGUGUUUGAUGGAAAAACUUUAUUGAUUGCUAACCCCAAGCGAAGAGCUUAUUGUCUUCCUCGGCUGCCGAAGCCUCCUAUAAUGUCAAAUGAAAGAAAUGCUUUCCCCACUACUCCUAUUGAUAGGACGACUGCGACUUUCAAAUACAAUAAAGAUAGCUAUUUCUUUCUCCUAGUGACUACUCCGAGUAAAGACUACGGACCUUAACCCGUUAACGGGAUUUUUUACAUUACUAAAUAAAUAAAAUAUAUUCUGAAGAAAGGCUUCCUCUUCCCCUUAUUCUUUAAACCAGUCUGACUCUUCCAAUUUGUAGAGUUGGGCAGGCGAAUCAAGAUAAAUGACUAGGGGAUUUCCUGCCAGAGUUCCCUCCCUUGGGGUGUCAUCAAUGUUGGCAGAUCCGUUAAUGCUGAAGCAGAACCAUCUGCUGCCGCUGGAGUGCCUUUACCGCAAUAUAUGUUGUCAGGUAAGUGUCCUUAGUGUUAGUGGAAAGCUAGGGAUCGAAUUGAAGCGGAGAAAAAAAAAGAGAAGAGAUAGCCGGUCAGGAAAGGUAGGCUCUGCUCUCUGUUCUUCUUGAAAAUGAAAAAAGCCAAGGUCAGCUAAGAUAAAAGAGAACAGAAGGCCUAGUGAGUCUUCACCUCUCCUCUCUAUUAAUACGAAUACGUUUCUAAUAUGAUUUUAGUCGGUUGCCAUGUAUCAUGGUUUGUUUGAAGAUAGGAGAGUAGAUAAAAGCUUCUGGUUCCAUGCCAUGCAAGUCCAUAGCGUUCAAUUCUCCAUCAAUCUUCCUAUCGGGCGGCAAUAGACAAUAAAAGAAUGAAGCCUCGAUGACUUAAGCCUCUUUAAGGGCUUUUCAAGAGUCUCUUUGAAGAAGGAAAAACUCUUUUUUCAACUUCAGUCUAGUUUGCCACAAGGCAUGCAAGCGAGGCCUAUGUGGAAGAAAGCUCGACAACAACAAGCGAAUGAUCUGAUCGGGGGGGCGUACUCUACGAACUUAGUUGCUUCACAACCUGGGGGUUGGGUUCUUUCACUCAAUAGAAAGAAAAAAAAAGUGUCACACACUAUAAGGCAAUAAGAAGAUAACUUUUCAAUACAAAAAUAUAUCUCAAUACGGGUGGGAUUAUAGAAAGACUUUUGAAAUGACUUCUCUGUCGGUUACGACUAAAAGGCCUUGCAUACUCGAGAAGCUGAUUCAAUAGCAACCACUCUUACUAAUGAUAUUCUGGACUUUCCUUGUUAAGGUCCCGAGGUAAAGUAACGGCUAGGCUAUAAGUAGGCCGGUUGCUAUCCCUAUAAGGGAUGCUCGCCUAGGAAUCAGGUUCGGACCUUGCUUAGAUUCAAGAUCCAGGGAACCGAAGGGGCGUAGCGAUGCCAAAAAGCGAACUAAAACCAAAGGGGGGUACAAUCACACGUCAGGGUCCAAAAGAAUGCUAUUUUAGGACCAAGUUGAAAGAUCUAGAAGCAGGAUCAGGAUGGGACCAAUGAGUUCUCCAAUCGUUCCGUGUGAGGCCCCUCUGCUAGACUGGAGGAGCAGUUAACGAGAAGCUUAACUUACACAGAAUUGUUGAAGAGCGAGGGGAGGUGCUUUGACACCAUUUUCCACGAUUCCCACAUUGAGCUCUCUUUGCCUUACUUAUUAUGAAUCGAUAUAAAAGAGAAUCCGCCAGCUGGAAGAGGAAUAGGAUAUAGGUGAGCCCGGGGAAUAUUGUUGAAUAAAGACCCCUUCUAAAAAGCUCUUGGCCCACCCUUCACUCUGUUCACGGUUAGCCGGGAAUGAGACUGGGAGUUCGAUUUCCUUUAUGACUUUCGCCUUGCACCUUACACUAAACUGAAUCUCUUGCACGCGCGUAUAAUAAGGAAGAAUACCUUGCUGGCUAUUCCUUAUGCUUGAUAGCACAGGAAAGAGAGAUUCCGGAAUCUCUUGACUUCACAGCUACGCACCUUUCAAACAUACUUUUCUUACUCCAAGAGCGAAAAGAACAUCAUAUCAUAGGUUAUACUAUCCGGGAGUAGUAGUACUUGCUAAAGCUAAAGGUUUUCUCCCGCUAAAAACAGUCUACUAGAUAAGCCAAGUAAAGAAGUGCCAGAUACAGAUGAAAUGGUUUUCUCUCCUUUUUAGAGAAGUCAAUUCCUCCUCCCCCGAGGGGUACUUCUAUUUAAGCUUUAGAGAAUCCAGGUCCAGCGGAAGACUAAGUAAGGUACGGUAUAAAGUCCAAUCAAUCUCCUCCAACAGACAACAGAGGGCUCUGACCUGACCACAGUCAAUCAGUCUAUUGUUCUGGUUCUAUAGAGUCUAACCCUUAUAUGAGGCUACAAGGGAAGACUCCUCGUUUUUAGCCUGGUCCAGGUGUGGCAUAUCUUUCCCAUCUAGUAGCCCCGACAAGAGCAGUUACGUCUUUUCCUAAAGCCCUUACUAAACCACCAGGAACUAGUCUGGUUUGAUAUAAGCCUAGCUACCACGGAAAGCAUAGUCAGAAGAGCUGAAAAAAUAGCCAUCUUACUCUCGGACCUUACCUUAAUAAAGGAAGAACUUAAGCCUUUCUUAAAAAGAAAAAAAACCUAAGAUGAGCUAACUUGGCUUGGUGCAGGAAAUGGAAUCACAGCAAGAAAGAAGGCUAGGAGAGAUAGCAUACUUUCCUUUUUUAGGAUUUCUACCCGCAAAUGCCUUAGUCAGUAGCCUGCCUUUCGACUCGGGGUGUUCUAAGGUGCUAAAUGCAUUGUUGCAGUCGAUGCUAUUUCGUUCAAAGAUCCUAUCUUCUCUUCUUACUAGGUGAUACCUGGUUGUUCGAGGAAAUCCUUGUCGCUACUCUAAGUAGUUUCCCGAGUGUUUUGAUUUCCUAACCAAGGAUAGGCGACUCCGGAUCUGAGAUUGUACUAGACUGAGCUGCCAGAGUUGUUGCACUGGGGUAUCUAUUGGUUUAUUGUUAAAGGAUCCGCUUCCUUGUGCUCUUAUUGCAUUCUCCCAGAGAACUAGGGGGGAUUCGAUUUUAAGGUUGGUUAGAACAAGAAAAAUACCAACCAACACUAAUGGGGGUGAACCCAACAGGAGCUCGAAACCGCCGAUAAGGGCUUCACAACGAGUCCAUCGAAACGAAGCUAAUUAGAUUCUAGUAGUAGCACUGAUAGCCACUUAUGCCUUCUUAGCCGUGUCGUGAAAGUCCUUUGCUCAAGUGCUCAAGGAAAAAGGUAUCUUUUACCCCGAGGGUGUAGAGUUCUUCUCACUCGUAUUUGCUAGUGGUGAAUCAUAUCUAUAUUUAUUGAAGUUAGCCCCUAUAUUUUCAUCGUUAGCUAUAGCCCUCUCUAUCUUUGUUGGCGUAACCGCCCCUUGAUUGGGCGUAUGUAAAUGCCCGGUAGUAUGAGCUACUUCCUCUUAGAAUGAUCACUAGCAUUACCUAUUGAAGACUUUCUUUUCCCCUCUUUUAACUCGGCAGUCUGUCAGAGUUAGCGCUUCGGCUCUGAUUUCUUUCUCUUUUCUUUCUAUAUGAUAUUACUCCCCCGGGGGAUUGAGAGCCUUUAUUUCUAAAUGACUUAUCGCUCUUUUACUAGGAUAAUCCAAAAGCCUUUGUAAAGUCUGUUGGAUGUGCAAAUUACGCCUUUACUCUAGCUGCUCUUGGUGGUUGAGUAAGGGCAUUGAGCUUAGGCCUACCCCUACUCUCAAGGUAGGGUAGUUCAGUCACCCGAGGAUCACUCUCUCCAGAGCCGGGAGUGCAGCCAAUUAACAAAACCGAUUAAACAAGUCUGGAGCAGCUCAGUCCAGCUAGCUUCUUUGCCAAUUAGCUACGUUCGUUCCCCUCCCCCUUAAGUCAAAUAGGCUGGUCACGAAAUGUCUUUGUCUUAUGCCAAUGCGGCGAGUCCUGUGCCUUCGACCUUCGUGGUCGUGGUUCGUGUUGUGGUACCGGCUUAAAGAAAAGAUUAACGCUGCUCCAGCUUAAGGAAAGCAUCUCUUGGAGUUUCUCCUUUCGUGGUUGUGUGUCCUUCCAGCCUUAAAGCAAUCGGCGGUACUUCGGGUGAAGAGGUCAAAUUAAUUACUAAAGGAAUCAGGCGCUAGGGCCAGUGCGAUGCCUUCUAUAUAUAAUGAAUAUCCCUGUCCAAGUGGAAGCAUGAGGGUGGUCCAGGUAAAAGCUUUGAUCCAUGGGCUAGCUAAAGGCCAGCCAAACAAAAGUCAAAGACGUACUCGUAGGUCUCCUUGAUGAGCGAACAAGCACAAGGCCUAAUAUGAACUUGGAGCUGCAAAAUCCCAAACAAAAGUAGUUCUCCACUCAUCCUUUCUUCCACUUCUUCAUUCCCUUUAAAAUAUCCUUCUCCUGCCACUGACUUGAGCUCUCCUCCUGGUCAUAGUGGCUCGGGUCCAACAGAACGGUAUGAAUAUGAGAGAAAAGUCUCCUAUAUAUCUUACUGGACUAAACCAAGACUUAUACUUAUAGGCCUUUUCAGUAAUUCCUGCCAUCCACACCGAGCCGUAUCAGAUUGAUAUACGCCAAGGCAAAUACGUAACGGCACAAAGUCAAUCUGAUUGGCUGCCCGUCACCCUAUUGUAAUGGGGUAGUUCAUUUUGGUUCGAAUGAAUCCGAAACUCAAGUCAAGGCAUCGAAUAUGAAUUUAUGUCCAUUUUACCCAGUGGAAACUCUAGAACAAAAUCCUACCACAGUAGAUCUCGCUUCUCCGGGCGGGGAACUUCUAUUGUUAUGUUAGAAGGGUUGCCCCAAGCGCCUUUAGGGACCUAGUACGCACGACUUGCCGUUAUUGAGCGAGAUGCCCCGACCGUCGUAGCUUCAGAUUGCCAACCUAACUUGAGCCCUUAGACAGUAAAAAUGCGCUGCCCCACCGAGGCUUCUUCAGUGGAUUCGACAGAUUGGGAUUGCACUUCCACUUCCACUGUCCCAACUACUGGUGUCAAUUGUCCAACCACUGACACAGGCUCAUUAGAAGUAGAUCUUCCUCAUCGAUCCCCUCUUCUGCCCUUACCUGAUGAGUGAGGCCUUCCCGCAGGAACCAUCACAAGGCAAGGAACCCGAUCCCGUCUCUUCAAUCGGAAAGCUCUACGACUCGAGAAAUCCCCUCAUCACGGGAUCCUAUGUAACUACACCCUUAGCUGGUUUAUCUCUAUGGUCCAUGGAAACAGGUCUCCUCUUGUCAUCCCGGAAAGAAUCUCUGCUCUGCUUGUUCACUCCCGAUACGCCUAAGCCGAAGAUUGGAAUACGGAUGAGAUCAGAAAAGCCAUCCUUUUUGAAACUCAGUUUUCGUUGUCUAAUAUUGGGAGUUGCGCUGUGGUUGGGGGAAAUUCCCGCAUUUGUAAUUGAUUUAUUGCGGUGGGGGUGGCUAGACCAAAAUUGGGUGCCGGUCAUGACGAAGGCACUGGGGCUUUUGAACGCACUAAAGCAUGGUAUGGAUGUGCCUGCAACUGAUGGCACAAUCGGGGGAAUUCCGAUUAUAAACUUAGUUAACCAGGCUGCACUGGAAGUGGUUGUACCUACCCCCGAUCCCGCGGGCAUAACUUCUUACGACGCAAGAAAGUCAACUCUUGUGCUAUUAUUAUAUGCCUUAGUCUUUGGUUUCAUGGGCGCCCCAUUCUUUCAGCUAGCGCUGCUGCCGGCACCCGGUUAGUUAUCUUUUCCGACAAGUCUUUCUUGCAUUUUUAGAGCAAGAAGCGGAACUAUAGAGAUGAAAUGAAAAUUCUUACGAUUACGCCCAACAGCCCACUUGAGCAAUUUGCCAUUCUCCCAUUGAUUCCUAUGAAUAUAGGACACUUGUAUUUCUCAUUCACAAAUCCAUCUUUGUUUAUGCUACUAACUCUCAGUUUGGUCCUACUUUUGGUUCAUUUUGUUACUAAAAACGGAGGAGGAAACUCAGUACCAAAUGCUUGGCAAUCCUUGGUAGAGCUUAUUUAUGAUUUCGUGCCGAACCCGGUAAACGAACAAAUAGGUGGUCUUUCCGGAAAUGUUAAACAAAAGUUUUCCCCUCGCAUCUCGGUCACUUUUACUUUUUCGUUAUUUCGUAAUCCCCAGGGUAUGAUACCUUAUAGCUUCACAGUUACAAGUCAUUUUCUCAUUACUUUGGGCCUCUCAUUUUCCAUUUUUAUUGGCAUUACUAUAGUGGGAUUUCAAAGAAAUGGGCUUCAUUUUUUAAGCUUUUCAUUACCCGCAGGAGUCCCACUGCCGUUAGCACCCUUUUUAGUACUCCUUGAGCUAAUCCCUCAUUGUUUUCNNNN
RNAcentral lists this long non-coding RNA (63870 nucleotides) under Panax ginseng (ginseng). RNAcentral's name for it is "long non-coding RNA (PGIN_LNC008673)". The record is from RNAcentral. Lineage: Eukaryota; Viridiplantae; Streptophyta; Magnoliopsida; Apiales; Araliaceae.